UCUUCUAAUUACUAUGAGUCAAUAUUUCUGACUAUGAAAGGCAUUGACUUACAAAUGGAGAGGAUUCUAACAACUUUUGCAACUAUUGAUUUGUCCAGCAAUAGAUUUCAAGGGAAAAUUCCAGAAGUAGUGGGAAAGCUGAAUUCACUCAAAAGUCUCAACAUUUCUCACAACAACCUGACAGGUGGUAUUCCUUCAUCGCUGAGAAAUCUGACAGAGCUUGAAUCUCUAGACCUCUCUUCAAACACGCUUACUGGACGUAUCCCAACGCAACUGGCGAGUCUGAAUUAUCUUUCGGUGUUGAAUCUUUCGAACAACCAGCUCAACGGACCCAUACCACUAGGACCCCAAUUUAAUACUUUUGGAAAUAAUUCCUAUUCUGGUAACUCAGGGUUGUGUGGAUUCCCAUUAUCAGAGAGCUGCAGCAUUGAUGAGGCGCCAGAACCAACAACACCAUCAAGAUUUCUCGAAGGAGAUUAUGCUUCUAGGUGGUUUGAUUGGAAGUUUGCUAAGUUGGGUUACGCAUCUGGAGUGGUGAUCGGCUUGUCCAUCGGAUACAUGGCAUUUGUGACUGGAAGGCCACAAUGGUUUGUAAGAAUGAUCGAAAGGAAGCAAUCCAAGAAGCCGAGAAGGGUGAUCAGACGAGGCAGAGCAAGUAGAAGAAGUUUGUAGGUGCAUCUCUAGAGGCCCAGGUGAGCAAUUAUUAGUUUGUCUUUUGGAAUUAUAAGCUGGUUUCCACUGUUCUUUGAAUAGAUGGCAUGCUGAUAUUAUCGUAAUCUAACAGUUGGCUUACAAAAAUCACAAUCUUACAAGUUCAGCAUAUAUAAUCCAUAAUUAUAUAGAUUACAAAUUCUAAUUUGUAGUAAAGUAAUUACGAAGUAAAUGGAAGGUCGUAAAAGUAUUAAGGUUGUAAAAAUCUUAGUUUCAAAUAAUAAUAAAAUCUAAUUGUUUUAUGUUUAUUAAAUGAUUAAAUGAUAUCAUGAUUUUAACAAAUAAAAUUAUAAAUAUCAUGACUUUAUAAAAUGACAAAUCUAAAGUUUUACAACUUCAAUAUUUUAUUUAUGAAAUCAUAAAUUAGUCAGAAGAAAUAAGCUUCAUUUGCAAACGAAAUAUUUUUCACCAUUUAUACACAAAAAAUUAAAAUAAAAUAAAAGUUGUAUUUUCAUUCAAUGGAGUUAAAGUGCAAGUAAAAUAUUAAUAGUUCAAAUAAAAAUACAUAUCAUAUGCAUCAUUACAAUUGACAGUACAUCUCAACUAGGUUGGCACCCACUAAACCAUCUAUCAUUUGCGAAAUUAGAUAAUAUAGUUGUGUUAAUAAAAUGUUAAUAAUUAUAUUUUAAUCUAAAACUUGUAAACAUUAAUGUUAUUACAAAUUAUCAUUUACAACUUUAUAUAAGUACAAAUUAGCAAUUAAAUGUUAACCCUUCAGAAAAAUUAUUUAUUAUUAUUGUUAAGAAGGGAAAUUAUCAUUGCACCACCGUUCUUUUGCCUUAUGUUCAUCCAACCACCAUAAAAUUCUAACAUGUUCUCAGCAACACCUUUCUUUUGAAAUUUGUAUUAAUUAGCUACUUUUGCACUAACAACGUUAAAUAAUUUAAACGAAAUAACAAUUUUACUCCUAAAUAAAUUAAAAGACCAUUUUAUCUUAAAAACUUGGAAAAUAAAAAAUUAUAAUUAUAAAAAUACCCCUAAAUUAAAAAAUAAAGCCAAAAUGGAGGUGCUCAGUUGAUUUUUAUUAAAUUUAGAUUUUACAAAAUUUUAAUCAUUAUUUUUAUUAAAAAUUUAUAAUUUUGCAAAAUUCAAUAAAAAAUAAAUGAAUUUAUUUAUUAAAAAGUUAUAAUUUUGCAAAAUUUUAUUAAAAUAACUGAAUUUUUUAUUAAAAAAUAAAUCCCAAAAUUUUAAUAAUUUAGGGGAUUUUUAUUAAAUCCCAAAAUUUUGUAAUUUUUUUAUAAUUAUAAUUUUUUAAAAUAAAUUUUAUUAAAAAUAAAUAUUCUUAAUUUUUGGAUUUAUUUCUUUAUUAAAUGUAUGGGUAUUUUUAUAAUUAUAAUUUUUUUAUUUUCAAAGCUUUUACAAGAUAAAAAGAUCUCUUAGUUUAUUUUGGGGUCAAAUUAUCAUUUUUUUUAAAUUAUUCAACGGUAUUAGUGCAAAAGUGAUUAAUUGAUACAAAUUUCAAAAGAAAUAUGGUGCAGAGAACAUGUUAGAAUUUUGUGAUGAUUGGAUUAACAUAAGGCAGAAGAAAGGUGGUGCAAUGAUAAUUUCCCUUAUUAAGAAUUAUCCUAUAUGUAUUAAAAAAAAAGAAAUGGGGAUUUUUUUUUUUAGCCCAAAAAAGGAAAAAAGAAAAAAGAAAAAGAGGUACAGGCGGUGCGGCCAAUUGGCCUUCUCUAUAUGUGAAAUGGGGAAUAACAAAUGGGGAGAUUGCCAAUUUCCCCCCUACAGUAAUCAACAUAUACCAUUUUCUCCUCUGCUGUUUUUAUAAUGGCCAAAAACCUCCCUGAUAGCAUAAGUUUACAAUAUUAUCUUUAUUUUCAACUACUCUUUUAUUUAUAUUUAUUAUAAAUUAAAUAAAUCACAUGAAUAGAAACUAAAUAAAAAAUUAAGCAUUAAAAAUAAGAAAUAUAUGUUUUGAUAUGAGAAGAAAAUUAAUAAUAAAAUUUUUUUCUUGUACUUAUUUAUUUUGUGAAAUUUUUCUUAUAAUAAAUAUAUAAGAAAGUUAUUAUAAAAUGAUAAAAAAUUAUUAUAAGAAAAUUUGAAUGACAAAUAAAAAUUUAUUAUAAGAUAAAUAAUAAAAUAUUUUGCCUAUACUUUUUACAUUUAAUUUUAAAAUAUUACAAAAUGUUUAUUAUAAGAAAAUGUUCACAAAAUAAAUAAUUACAAAAAAAAUUUCAUUAUUAAUUUUUUUGCUCAUAUCAAAACAUAUAUUUCUUGUUUUUAAUACUUAAUUUUUUUAUUUAGUUUCUAUUCAUGUAAUUUAUUUAAUUUAUAACAAAUGUAAAUAAAAGAGUAAUUAAAAAUAAGGAUAAUAUUGUAAACUUAUGUUGUCAGUGGGGUUUUUGGCCAUUAUAAAAACAGAAGGAGGGUAAAUGGUAUAUGUUAAUUAUUGUAAGGGGGAAAGUGGCAAUCCCCCUAACAAAUAAUCUUGACUCAAUUAAUUGUAACAAUAACGAUUUGGAACACGAUGUGGGCUUAAUUUGGGUGUGCAUCUUCAGUUCUGUAACCUGAAUUUGGGUGUGCAAAUUGUAAUAUUACCCUUUUAAACUCACAAUGAGAUAAUUGAAUGGGGUGUAAAAGAAAAUGGAUUUAAAUAAAUGAAAUAUGGUAUGUCCAAAAUCUCUGACCCUGUAUCAUCCUUGUUCAAAUGGCUCAGUAUGUAUGUGCCAUGUCAAAAUGUGAGAACUCAUCCACGUCACCAGCCUCAACACCCUCGCCACGUCAUCACUCAACCGGUGUUAUAACUGAUGAUAAUUUGGAUAAGAUAAACAGUUAAAUUGUGAGUCUUCACUCUUCAAAGAGAAACCAAAAUGGCGCGAGCUUUGCUUCAUUUGAAUAGCACAGCCACGGCCAUAAUGGCCAGUGCUACAAGUGCUACUAAAGAAACAGUUCUUGUCAGGCUCUCUUCAGGCUCUGCCCGGCCUUCAGAUUGUAGUUGGCUCUCGAAACAGGUGAAAUCAUUAAUACUCUUUUCUUUCUUCUAGUUGUUUCCCGAGAAAAUGCAAGAAAUAAAGGGAAAAUUUUUUCAAGCUUUGUUACUUAAUGUUAUUUUUAUGAUUACUAUGUUUCUUUGGUUCUUUUAAAAUUUAAAUUCAAGUAUUAGUCUGUCUUUAAGUAGACCGCAUGAUGGUAUUUUUCACUAUCUGAACUAGUAUUUGAACAGUAUAUUAAUUUGAUGUGUUUUUUGUUCAGGAAUUUUAUUACACUCAUGGAAUCGAAGCAGUGGAAGUCAUAUAAUCCUGCAGGUACAACAAUUUUCUUUGCUUUAUUUUCCAAUCCAUAUUAAUAUGCUAGGACUUAUUUUUUGUUGGCAAACUUGAUCAAAACUCUUGAGGAAAAAAAAUGAUUUGAAGAAAUAAUAAUGUUGAUGUAGGAAAUGGUGUGGGCAACUUUUAUUUGUUUGUCUUGGGCCAGUAUGUUGGAUUUGGAAAUAUUGGAAGGUUGCAACGAUACAAGAAUCAUUCACCGCCUGCAGACAGCUAUGAUCCAUAUAUGCGAUUUUUGCAAUGUUUAUUUUUCAUAAGAAAUUCAAAUGCUACUUCAGAUUUUUUUAAUAAAUCCCGAAUCCUUGUACAUCCAAAUUUCAUUGUUUCAUGAUUCAUCAUAAUCCAAUGAAGUCUUGAAUGCUUGUACCAAUUCAAAGGUUAGUUGUGGAUCAACAAAAAGAAAUAAAAUGUAUGUGGGCUGGACACAGGUCCUAUAUAUAUAUACCAGUUAAUUUUUUUGCCAAGAUAUCUCCACUGUUGGUUAUCUGCUUGAGUCUGAAGCAAUAACAGAAAAAAAAAAAUAAUAAUAAUAUGACUAGUUAUUAUUAAAUUAGUCGUUAAAAUAUUUAUUUAUUCUUAUUACGAUAAUUGAGGCAAUAAAUUGCAUAUUCUUGUUUAAUUUUGAGUUCUUCAUUGAUAACGUUCAAAUUUUUAUUUUUUAUUUGAUUUUUUUCUAAUUUUAGGGGGGAGAAAAGGUAAAGAAUGAGAGAUUAUUUAACAAAUUAAAUUUAGAGCACAAGCACAGAAGCAUUAAGCUCCUGCUAAACUGUUGUUCGACUUGCAAGUUUUUGGAUCAAAUAAUAAAGUUUGUGCCUUGAGAAGUUAGCUCAUGGCUGGAAUGUUAUUUCUAAUCUAGAGCUAGCGUCCUGAGAAAAUUUUGCAUCCUUGCAGGGAAAAAGGUGCUGCAAUUGUGUCUACAUUGUUGAAGUUUUCUGAAUUUUCUGAAGUUAAUUGGUAGACAUUAUUCUUUUACACUAAAUAUGCAAUUGAGUUCACAGCUAUCCAAAAAAUGGGGCAGUUUUUAUAUUUAAUUACAAAAUUAUCCUUAUUGAAACCCAUAUAAGAGUAUUUACAUUAAUUAGUUAUAUUGCUUCUUCAACUAUCAUCAAAUUCUUAUUCGAGUUCAUCAUUUAAGGAAUAAAUGUGUUAUCUAAAUAAUUACAAAUGAUGUACUAAGCAAAUAUUUUGAGAAAUAAGACUCAUUAUGGCUCCUUUCAUUAGUUGUAUCUUUAAUUUCUUAUUAAUGAAAUUCUCUCGCAUUGCCCAAAAAAAAUGUUGUUAGCGUCACCAUUGAAAGGGGCCAAAUUAUGUAUUGUCUGACUAGUGAAACUGUUAUCAUAUAUGCUAAUAUGCUGCUUCUGGAUCCAUUAUUCUGGCUUUUUAUCAUUUCCAUGGCAGUGAUGGGAGCAGCGCUUGUUCAUAUUGGUAGAAGUGAAAGCAAAUUAAGGAGAGACACAUAGACUAAGGUAAUAAUGUCCACUAAGUUUAAUAUGGUGAAGUCCUGGAUCAGUCGCUUUGCUGAAAUGAUUUCAAGUAAUCGCCCACAGUGAUUGGCAAUUUUCUCUUAUUUAAGUUUUGGUGAAAGUGAAGCUCAUCCACAGAAAAUAAUUGACAGGAAGUGUUAAGGAGAAAAGAUCAGCCUAAUUCAAUGGCUAGGGAUGUUACAAUCAUUUUUUUGUUACUAAAUAUUUUUAAAUUAGGAUAACGUAUUAAUGGAAAAAAAAAAAUUCAUAGUCUAACAAUUGAUUUACAAAAACCAGAAUCCUGAUUAAAUUCAGAUAAUAAUUAUAAUCAACGUCUAUAGGAAAAGGGAAAACGAGAAUCAUAUGUAAGAAAAAUUAUUUCAUGAUGGAGGAAACUUUACCUUAAUUAUCGAUGUGUUUCUCUUCAGGAAUUUUAAUCUCUUCGUACCGAAAUUUAUUUUUGCUUUAAUUUAUUUCUAUAGCUCAUAAGAACUUGCUAUCACAGAACAUAUGUUUUGAUGGUAAACUUGAUCAAAUUUUUAUGGGAAAAAAAAAUUGAAUUGAAAUAAUAUUAUAUUGUUGCAGGAAAAAAUAUGUGAGGGCAACUUUGAUUAGGUGUAUCUUGGGCCACGUACGUAUCAGGAAAAUUAUUUUGUUGCAGGAAAAUUAUUUUGUUGCAGGAAAAUAGAUUUUCCAAAAAUCUGUCCUUUGGCCGACCGAUCCUAUAUGAUCCUUGUUCAAAUUGGCCCCGUAUGUGGCACGUCAACACUUCAAAACUCGGCCACGUCAUCAACUUCGCAAAAUUCUCGCCACAUCAUCACUGAACUGGUUACGACGGAUGAUAACCUGUUGAAAAGUCAAAGAGUUUUGAGCCACAUGCAUUGCUUCUGUUUUUCAAAGUUGGCACCAAAUUGCAAGCUGUAAAAUAUUUGGCUUUUGACAAUCCUUCACCAAAUGAAGAAAAAUGAGAAAGGUUAGCAAAAUUUGUCAAAUUGACAGAUAGGAGAAUUGAAAAAUUGCAAAGCGGAUGGUGCAAUAGUGCAACGUUUUUUGCUACAAAUAAAGAUGCAUUCUUCAUUUGUAAAGCAUCCCAAAAAAUUUGUUAAGCUUAUAAGUUUCUAAACUUUUGAGAGUUCUGCGAGUGUGAGCAAUUGGAGAGUGUGUGUGAGAGUAUUGAGUGUAUUUGGGUUCUGGGAAAGUGAGAUUUCUUUACUCGAAUUUGUACUCAAAUAAUUGUUAAUAAUACAAGUAUUUUUCUCUUGCUCCCGUGGACGUAGGCAUAUUGCCGAACCACGUAAAUUCUUGUAUCCUUUAUUUUUUUGUGAUUAUUCAGUGCGCUUGUUUCCGCAUUCCAUGCACAACAAGUGGUAUCAGAGCUAAUGGUUCGUACUUGGGGGGAUACGGUACUGUUCACGUAUAUGAUACUAUUCACGAAUAUGGUACUGUUCACGAAUACGGUGGAGACGGCCAUUUGUACUUGGGAGACAGUCUAUUAUAAGUAGUGUGUAUUUUUGCAUGUCUAGGAAAGUUCUGUCAACAAAGGCGAUAAGAGUCUAAGGAUUCUGGUUUUUAAUUGGGACCGAGUUCCCGUCUAGUUUCCUGAAAACUUUCCUGGUGCAUUUAUUCACGCAAAAUUAACAUCAUAGAGACUGUUUUUUCAAGUGGAAAUAAUUCAUCGAGAAAAUGGUAGAAGGUGAAACUUCCAGAAUUGGGGAGAGAUCUACCUAGGCUAUUUCAGGAGACACUUCAGGUGGGAGGCGAGAUUUGUCAAAUCGCUAUUCAGCACCUGUUAUAGGAGGCCGGAAGAUCGAUGUUGAAAAGUUUUAUGGGAAAAUCAACUUCGGCAUGUGGAGGCGCGAAGUUAUGGAUGCCCUUAUUCAAAUCGAUCUCGAUGUUGUUCUGAAAAAUAAAAGACACUUGUAUGAUGAAGAAAUUUGGGAUCGUAUGAACGAGAAAGCUUAUGGUCAGAUCAGAUCUUGUUUGACCAAGGAGGCGAAAUACUUGGUGAAAGAUGAGGAGUGUGCUGUGACUUUGUGGCGUACAUUGGAGGAGAAGUACCUGCUGAAAAGUCCUGAAAAUCGUCUUCAUGCAAUGAGCCAAGUAUAUGGCUUUCGAAUGAAGCCUGGGGUGUCAAUGCACGAUCAUGUCUCAAGAUUUGAAAAGUUACUUGCUGAUUUGAAGAAUCUUGAUCAAGAUAUUAAGGAUGAAGUCAAAGUUAUGAUUCUGUUACACUCAUUACCAGAGGAAUAUAGCCAUUUUAUGACUACCUUGAUAUAUAGGAAGAGUGUGAUCGUCUUCAAAGAUGUUUACACAGCAUUGACUAACUUGGAGAUUCGGAAUAAUGAUAAAAAUUUCUGAAUGAGCAUCGUCUAAAGCUUUGGUGAGUAGAGAUUGGGCGAUGGAGAAAAAGAAAAAGCAUGGUGGAAAGAAUUCUCGAUCCAAAUCGAGAAGUAGAAAUCUAGCUCGAGAUGAGUGUGCCUUUUGUCAUGAAAAGGGUCAUUGGAGGAAAGAUUGUCCAAAGGCUCAAAAGAGAGAUGAGAAGAAACCAGCAGCAGCAAACAUGGAACGGAAAGAUGAAGACUCUGAUUAUUCACUAAGUAUUACUCCUGCAGCAUACGUGACUAGUUCGAGCGAGUGAAUACUUGAUACUGGAGCAACCUAUCAUUUGUGUCCUAUUAAGGGAUGGUUUACGGAUUUUCGUAAUUUGGAAUCCGGUGCAGUUGUGAUGGGGAAUGAUCAACCUUGUCGCACAAUUGGGAUAGGAACAAUUCGGCUCAAAAUGUUUGAUGGAAUGAUCAGAGAACUCAAAGAGGUUAGAUUUGUUCCAACUUUAAAGAAAAAUCUAAUUUCUCUGGGUGCUUUGGAGCUAAAGGCUACAAGAUUACCAUUGAAGAUGGCACAAUGAAGUUUACACAUGGGGCUAUGGUGAUUUUGCAAGAGGUUUGGCGUCACAAUCUGUACUAUUUGAAGGGAAGUACAACUGAUGAAGCAAAUAUUGUUGAGGCGCACAGUGACACCACCAAGCUAUGGCAUGUACGACUGGGACAUGCUGGUGAGAAGUCUUUGCAAACUCUGAUGAGGCGCGGACUCUUAAAAGGUACCAAAACCUGUGAGUUAAAUCUCUGUGAGCAUUGUGUAGUAGGCAAGAAAACAAGGGUCAAGUUUGGUACAGCCAAUCACGAUACUUGUUGUACAAAUUUUAAUGUACUCGCAAGCGCACGAAUCUAUUGUGGUAUAGAUCAAUGGUGACGAGUGUCGAUCCCACGAGGAGGUAGAUUUUAAUUGUGUAGAAUUAAUUUUGUAAAUGGGUGAUUGGAUUUGUGGUGGAAAUGAUUUGGAAUAUAUUAAAACUUAAAUUAAACUGGCGAGAAUAAAUUCUAAAAUUGGUAUUGAAAUAGCGAGAAUAAAUUGAAGAGAAUUCUAUUGAAAUGACGUACUUGGGUAUCUGGAUCCGUAUCAACAUGCAUCAUGGGCUAAAUAAUCCGUAUUAAUGCCAAUUAAAUCAUGAGGGGGGAAUCCACACCUCAUGAACCACGCUCUAAUCAAUAUGGUGCUAAGGGCUUAUCGUGCCAAAUAAUAAUAACCUUAUACUAGAGAGCCGGUGAAACCAAGGCGGUACUAGACAAGAUUAGUAUUAUUUGUCGACGAGAAGUCAAAACAUCCACAAAAACUAGAGGGGAGGAGAAAAUAAAUUUACCAAAUUAAGCCCAUGACACAUGUUGAGACUUCACCUUCAACCCAAGCUUGAAAGAAAAUUAGCCACUCAUAAUUGAACUAGGGGCAAAAUGGGAAUUUAUUAAAAUACAUAGAAAAUACAAGAUGGAGAGGGAAUUACAGAAAAUGGAUCCCAAAAAUGGAUUCAGAGAUAUCAAAUUAGGGGGGGAGGCCCCAUUUUUAUAGAUACAUGGAGUAAAUCAUGGCCAUCGGAUUAAAAACAGUUUGGACGCUCAGGAUUGCGCCACGUCAUCAGUCAACAGUCCACGGUUUGACCACGCGGAUGAACAGUAACACGGUUUGACCCGGAUGAACAGUAACGCGGUUUGGUUGAAAAUAAUCCUGUGUGAUGCAUGCACCGUACGCUAGAUUUUUCGUCCACUGAUAUGCUGCCACGUCACCAUCAACAGUACAUAAGAAUUUUAGUCCAACAGGAUCGUGACACCUCAUCAGUCAAUGCCACAUCAUCGGUCAAUGCCACGUCAUCGAUCCGUCUAUGUGAACAUUGUCGUGAACAGUAACGUAUACAGUACCGUACACGUGAAUAGUACCGUACAUGUGAACAGUAACAUAUACAGUACCGUAUAUGUGAAUAGUGCCGUACAUGUGAAUAGUGCAAUUUUUCCUUUUAUGCUCCUUCUAAGGUUUUCAACCGUCCUGAGUUCAAAAGUGAUGUCCGUUUUGCCGUCUGAUCUCUCUUUUAUUGUGAAAUGACUAUAAUGCCCCUAAAAUACAUAAAAUACUUAAUUAAAAUAACACACACGUAAUUAUAUCACAAGAAGGUUAAAUACAUAAAAGUAAGAGUUGUUAGUAAGACUUGAAUGCCAGAACGAGGGUAUUAAAAGACAUUUCACGGUGAGACAUACUCCGCAACAGAACGAUGUAGCUGAGCGUAUGAAUCGUACUUUACUGGAGAAGGUACGGUGUAUGUUAUCUAAUGCUGGUUUAGAUAAAAAAAUUUGGGCUGAAGAUGUGAGCUACGCAAGUCACUUGGUAAACCGGUUGCCUUCUGCUGCAAUUGGAGGUAAAACUCCUUUGGAAAUGUGGUCUAGAAAGCAUGCACAAGACUACGAUUCUCUUCGUAUAUUCGGGUGUCCAACUUAUUAUAAUGUCAAAGAUGGUAAACUGGAUCCUCGUGCUAGAAAAGCUACCUUUAUGGGAUUCAAAGGUAGAGUAAAGGGCUUCAAGCUUUGAGAUCUCGAAGAUAAAAAGUUUGUGUGUAGCAGAUAUGUCACAUUUGAUGAAGUUUCAAUGAUGAAAACUUUAAGUUCUCAGCAAGUGGAGAACAAGACCAAAGAGGUAUUACAGCGGGUGGAGUUUAAUGCAACUCCAUAUGUACUAGUUAGUUCUGCAUCAAAGAAUGGUUCAACUAUGGAGGUGACACCUAGAGUUGAAGAAGAGGUUGUUUCUUCUAAUGUCCCACAAAAUGAAGAAACAAUUGAUGAUGUAGAUAAUGAUGAUUUUAUAGCAACAAGGAGGCCAAGAAGAGAGAUAAAGAAACCUAGAUGGCUUACUAAAGAUAUGGCUGUAGCCUAUGCACUUCCAGUUAUUGAUGAUGACAUCUCCAACACUUUCGGUGAAACAUUAUGCAGCAGUGAAAGUGAUCAGUGGAAGUUAGCUGUGGAGGAAGAGAUGAAAUCUCUCCAUCAAAACCAGACUUGGGAACUUGUAAAGUUACCAAAGGGAAAAAGGGCUAUUGGCAAUAAAUGGGUCUACACCAAAAAGCAAGGAUCUUCGAAUCAAUCAACUCCUCGAUACAAGGCAAGGUUCGUGGCGAAAGGUUUUCCUUAAAAGGAAGGUAUUGACUACAAUGAAGUUUUCUCUCCAGUUGUAAAACAUACUUCCAUUCGUAUCCUACUUGCCUUAGUUGCAGAAUAUGAGUUAGAGUUGGCUCAGUUGGAUGUUAAGACUGCAUUCUUACAUGGAGAUUUGGAGGAGGAAAUCUAUAUGAUUCAGCCUUGUGGUUUUAAAGUUGCUGGCAAGGAGAAUCAUGUGUGUAGGUUGAUUAAAUCUUUGUACGGACUGAAGCAAUCGCCAAGGCAGUGGUACAAAAGAUUUGAUCAAUUUAUACAAGGGUAGAACUUCACCAGAAGUGAACACGAUCAUUGUGUUUACUUUAAAAAACUACCAUAUUAAGCUUUCAUCUAUUUGUUACUCUAUGUCGACGAUAUGUUUAUAGCUUCGACGAAUAGAGAUGAGAUCGAAAGAUUAAAGAAGCACCUGGCUUCUGAGUUCGAGAUGAAAGACUUGGAUAAUGCACAAAGAAUACUUGGGAUGAAGAUUCAUGGAGACAAUAAGAAUGGGAGCGUAUGGUUAACUCAAAAGUCUUAUUUUAAGAAAGUGCUGGAAGGAUUCGGUAUGGAUGACAAAACAAAACCGGUAUGUACACCUAUAGUUCCUCAUUUCAAAUUAAACUCUUCUUCAUGUCUUAGAUCUCGAGAGGAGCGCGAAUACAUGACUCGUGUUCUAUAUGCUAGUGCUGUGGGUAGUCUUAUGUAUGCUAUGGUAUGCACAAGACCCGAUAUAUCUCAAGCAGUGAGCAUGGUUAGUAGAUACAUGCACAAUUCGGGUAAAAAUCAAUGGCUUGCGGUAAAGUGGAUUCUCCGAUAUCUGUAUGGGACAGUUGAUGUUGGGUUAUUGUUCAAGAAGGAUUGUGGUCAACAAUGUGUUGGGUAUUGUGGUUCUGAUUUCGCUGGAGACCUUGACAAGUGAAGAUCAACAAUGGGCUACGUAUUCACAUUGAGUGGAGGUCCGGUUAGCUGGAGGUCGAUUUUACAAUCGACAAUUACUCUGUCCACUACGGAAGCAGAGUACAUGGCAACAACUGAAGCUGUAAAGGAAGCUAUCUGGUUGAAAGGCUUGUUAUGUGAUUUGGGAGUAAUCCAAGAGAACAUUGCGGUCUUUUGUGAUAAUCAAAGUGCGAUAUUCCUCGCGAAGAAUUAAACAUAUCAUGCUCAGACGAAGCACAUAGAUGUGAAAUAUCAUUAUGUGAGGGAGAUUAUCGAAGGUGGUGACGUGUUGUUGAAGAAGAUCAAUACAAAAGAUAAUCCAUCAGAUAUGUUGACGAAGGUAGUUUCUGGAGUUAAGUUCCAACAUUGCUUGAAACUAAUUCAAAUCCUUCAAUUGUGUUAAGUUAUGUCCUUCGGGAAUUUUAAAUUACGAUUAGCUUGAUCCCAAUUUUUGGGUACGUAGGCAGUCACAGAGAUGCAGCCACUUUGGGGAUGAUGGUUCAUUGAUAGUCGGCUAAGAUUUGACUAAAUCUUCACCGAGGUAGAGAAUUGUUGAAAAGUCAAAGAGUUUUGAGCCACCUGCAUUGCUUCUGUUUUUCAAAGUUGGCACUAAAUUGCAAGCUGUAAAAUAUUUGGCUUUUGACAAUCCUUCACCAAAUGAAGAAAAAUGAGAAAGGUUAGCAAAAUUUGUCAAAUUGAAAGAUAGGAGAAUUGACAAAUUGCAAAGCGGAUGGUGCAAUAGUGCAACGUUUUUUGCUAUAAACAGAGAUGCAUUCUUCAUUUGUAAAGCAUCCCAAAAAAUUUGUUAAGCUUAUAAGUUUCUAAGCUUUUAAGAGUUCUGUGAGUGUGAGCAAUUGGAGAGUGUGUGAAAGUACUGGGUGUAUUUGGGUUCUGGAAAAGUGAGAUUUCUUUACUCAAAUAACUGUUAAUAAUACAAUUAUUUUUCUGUGAUUAUUCAGUGCGCUUGUUUUCGCAUUCCGCGCAUAACACUACCUACUACUAGAAGAAGCUGUGUCCAAAACAAAUUAGAGUUCCAUUAUUAUUACAAAUUAUAAGUAAACUACACGUUUUAAAAUCGGUAGACAAUAAUAUUGCAGUUUCAAAUCGAGCAAUGCACGCGUAAUCCCUAUUACGACAGAAUAACACAAAAUUAACAAAAGGAAAGCACAUAAUUGACUACUUUGAAAGCUUUUAUUGCAUUUUCUCAUAAACCAAAACAGAAGAAAGAAAGUAUUAACAUUUUCACCUGAUUUCGAGAGCCAAAUGGUCGGAGCAAAGCAACGGAAAGAAAUUGCACCGUUUACGCCAUGAAUGAAAGUGACUUAAUUCUACAAAUAUGACACCAUACACAGUGAUUCUAUUAAUAUGACAAUUUCUUAAUGAAAAGUCAUAAAUAAAUAUCCUUAAAGAGUAUAUUUAUUGAUUCUCCAUUUUUUUAGUUUUUACCUUACCAUUACCCCCCGGUUUUUUUACCUGACCAUUACCCACCCAUGGACUAUAAUUAUUAAAUACUCGACCUUUGUCUAAAAAUUAAGCGACCUUUUAUCUCACUCUUAUGACACUUGCAUUUAUACUCGAUUAUACUUAUUCUCAAUUUUGGAGUCAGAAAUGAAAACUGAGGAACUUGGUAAUUCACAAAUGCAGGUGGAUUUGUCGUAUAUAAGUGAAUAAAUGGAAAGGAAGGGAUGUAUAUUUGGAAGAUAAGCACUUUUGCUGCAUAUAAAAACAAAAUACACGCGUUUUUAAUGAUGUGUAUGGGACUGGGCCAUUUUUCUUUAUAAUUAUAGGCCUACUUUUGUUUCAACUAAAAUUCAAGUACUUGGUUGGUGCAAAUAAGCGGAGCACGCGCCAUUUUGGUCUCUUUUUAGUAUUCUCACCUUGUGAAGAGACUCAAUUCAACUGUUUUGCUUAUACAAAUUAUCAUCCGUUAUAACCGGUUGAGAGAUGACGUGGUGGAGUUUUGACAUGUUGACGUGGCACAUUAUGGGGCCAAUUUGAGCAAGGAUCAUAUAGGACAGAUUUUGGAAAAUCUCUUUUCCUGCGACAAAAUAAUUUUAUUGUUACCCUCACUUCCCUUGUCCGGAUACUGAUUCAAAUCCAAUAUACGUACUUGGCCCAAGAUAUACCAAAUCAAAAUUACCCUCACAUUUUGUUUUUUCCUGCAAUAAUAUAGUAUUAUUUCAAAUUAUUUUUUUUUUCACCCAAAAAUUUGAUUUACCAUCAAAACAUAUAUGUUCUGUGAGAGCAAGUUCUCAUGACCUAUAGAAAUAAAUCAAAGCAAAAAUAAGUUUCGGCACCAAGGGACCAAAAUUCCUAUAGUUGAGGUAUAAAAUUAUGAAAAGGGAUAAUCGUUUUGUGGUAAAUUGUAUUAGGAAAGUCAAAUGCUUGAUAAGCCCAGAGGUCAACAUUGUGAGAUGUAGUAGCUUUUUGCUGGGUUAUUAGGUAAAAAUGAUUUCAGUUGUAUGUUCUCCAAAAUGUGUUAAGAAAAUAAGAAUUGGUUAUGAAAAUAAAAGUAGUAAAGUGCAAAUCUUAGAAAUUUCCCGAAGUGCUGGAAUUUGAAAUAACUUCAAAUGCGAUUUUGAGUCCUGAAAUUGUACAAUUUCGUAAAAGCCACACGGGCAUCAGAGUCAAAGGCAAAUGGGCAACAUUGUUCAUCUUGUUAAUAUACCAUACGCCCAAUUGAAAAAAUGUGGCCAAAAUGGCACCAAAUGAAUUUCACCUCAAAUCAUUCCUACAUCAAAAUUAUUUUUAAAAUAACUUUUUCCUGAAAAAUUUGAUCAAGUUAACCAUCAAAAUGUAAGUGUGUGGUAUCAUGUUCUUACGCUCGAAUGUAACUGAACAUUGAUGGAUUAUCUUUACUGGGAUCCCCUUUCUUUACGUAUAAAGUAGACUUUGAUUCUUCAAGAGGAACACUUUUCAAUUUUUUUCAAUUCCCACAAACCAGUCCAAAAGCUGAAGCUGUAUCCAAUUAAUGACCAUUUAGAUAUUUACUUAAGUUCGGCGAGAUGUUCGUUAUCUGUCAUAUUUGCCGGUGUAACAGCUAGCUAGACUAACAGUCAUUUACACAAACACAAUUCAUCUUCCCUUCCCUGUUUUGACUCUGUUCCAUUAGUUGACUAUCAAAGCGUAAUAACUGGAGGGCAUAAUGAAUAAAUAGCAUAUGGUACAAAUAAAAUAUUCUAAGUAUGUUACAGUUUGUUAAGCUAAGUUGUUAGACCUUCCAUUAGUUAUCAUAUAUGUAUGUAACUGGUCAAAACAAUACAUAAUUUACCAAAUCAAAAACAUAUUCUAGUUUUUCCACGAACCUGUCCAAAAGCAGAUGCGUUUAUACUAAAAGAAACCCCAACUCUCAGAUAUUUUAAGUCAUCAUAUAUGUAUGUAACUGGUCAACUGUAUGAACUUAAGCUGAAAACUUAUGCCAAGUUGCCUGCUCUUUCUUACUACUGAACUUAAAAUAGAAAGGCAUCUUUCCUUCAAUCCCUUCCCCCUAUAAGGCUCUAAAGUGAUCUUUUCUCCUGGUCAAUUGCAUGAAUUGCGGAGCAGUAAUCUUAAUUUAAUAUUUAUUGCCAAUUUUGUAAAACUCCAAACUUCUUUUCCACGGCUAUGAUAGUGAAACUCAUGGGAAGGAUCAGAAAAGUUGAAAGUUAGUGAUCUAAGAUAUGUCCAAAUUAAGAGGUAUGUAUACAAAAACUGAACAAAUCUUUCUUUCUCAAAGUCAUUAAUUAACAUUUCAGCCAAGUCCACCUUAUAAGUUAAGAUAAUUUUUUCUAGUCAUUAAUGAGCAUUUCGGUCAAGUCCACUGAAGAUAUAAGAGCAAUAACUGGAGGCAAAUAAAAAGUUGAAAAGGCUGAGUUAAAUAAUCGUAUGCUCAUCUUUCUUCACAAGUAGAUUACACAUCUUUCUUCACAACUUUUUUAACAAAUUGAAACAGAAUUAAAGUAGAGGAGGGAAAAUCAAUUGUGGUUUGUGCAUAAUGUAUAUGACUGACUAACUAACUACGAGUUUAGCUGCCUGCCACAUCAGCAUAAUAUAACACAUAAAUAAUAUCAUUCCGCGUCGAGGAUGUCGUCAAGAUCCCCCUCUUGAAAGGAUUCCACUUACCACCUAAAUUCCAAAGCAAGACUUGGUGCUGUAAGUCAAUAAAUAUUAUAUUAUUAAUUAAUUACACACCAUAUUCAACUUCUAUAAAUGGUCAUUAUAUCUCUCUCUCUUCUUGUGAUUUCAUCAUCCAGAAAAGAAAAAGAAAAUGGGUUAUAUCACUCAGCCUUAUCAACUUUUGAUUUGCCUCCAGUUAUUGCUCUUCUAUUCUCAGUGUUCAGCUGCAAUACUUUGCUCUCACGACCAAAGUUCUGCUUUACUCCAAUUUAAGCAGCUCUUUUCCUUUCAAAAAGAUUCCUCAUCCCGUUGUGAAGGAUAUCAACAAUCUCGUCCCAAGAUGAUGUCUUGGAAAGAGGACGCUGAUUGCUGCUCCUGGGAUGGAGUAACAUGUGAUUCGGCGACGGGUCACGUGAUUGGCCUCGACCUCAGUUGCAGUUGGCUUCACGGCAACAUCCCUUCCAACAGUAGCCUUUCCUUGCUUCCUCGCCUGCGAAAGCUCAACCUAGCCUUCAAUGAUUUCAAUUACUCUAAGAUUUCUUCUGGUUUUACUGAUCAAUUUCCGAGUUUGACAGUCCUUAACCUCUCUUUCAGCGAUUUCACGGGGUCAAUUCCUGCCUCACUAGGUAACAAUAUUACACAACUUGCUUAUUUGGAUCUUUCGAAUAACAGUUUUACUGGUCAGAUUCCAUCAUCUUUUUCAAAUCUUCAGCAACUUCGUCAUUUAGAUCUUUGGGAAAAUAAGUUUGUUGGUGAAAUUCCUGCCUCACUAGGUAACAAUUUUACACAACUUGCUUAUUUGGAUCUCUCAUUUAACAGUUUUACUGGUCAGAUUCCAUCAUCUUUUUCAAAUCUCCACCAGCUUCGUCAUUUAGGUCUUUCUUUCAAUAAUUUUGUUGGUAAAAUUCCUUCAUCAUUAGGUAACAAUAUUACACAACUUGCUUAUUUGGAUCUCUCACAUAACAGUUUUGGUGGUCACAUUCCAUCAUCUUUUUCAAAUCUUCAGCAGCUUCAUCAUUUAGAUCUUCAAUCCAAUAAAUUUGUUGGUAAAAUUCCAGAUAUGUUUACCAACCUAACCCACCUUAAUUUUUUAAGCUUGGCAUCAAAUGAACUGAUAGGCUCGAUUCCAAGUUCAUUCUUUGAACUUGUGAAUGUGACUGUGAUCCAUCUUUCUUCUAACAAUUUAAGCGGCACUGUUAAGCUGUACGAUUUUGCAAAGCUCAAAAAUCUUAAAUAUUUUUAUCUUUCUAAUAAUAGUUUAUCAUUGAGCACCAAAUUAACAGUCAACUCGUCUUUCCCUAAUCUUCUGGGGUUGGGUUUAUCGGCUUGCAAUAUAAGUAAGUUUCCAGACAUCUUGAGAACUCAACAUCAGUUAGAGUGGUUGGACCUUUCUAAAAACCAAAUCCGUGGUAGGAUUCCCAGUUGGAUGUACGAUAUUGGAGUACAUACUUUGGAAGGAUUAGAUCUUUCACACAACUUCCUGACAAGCAUAGAACAUCUUCCGUGGAAAAAUCUUAGAAUUCUUUACCUUCAUUCGAACUUACUUCAAGGAUCACUUCUAGAUCUACCACCUCACUUGAAUUACUUUUCAAUUUCCACCAAUAAUUUGAUUGGAGAGAUUCCUUCAUCAUUUUGUAAUUUGAGUUCCAUUCUAUAUUUUAACUUAUCCAACAAUGGCUUGAGUGGACAAAUUCCACAAUGUCUUGGAUACUCUACACUUGAAACUUUGGAUCUACGAACGAACAACUUCCAAGGUAGCAUCCCACAGACAUAUGCAAAGGGCUGCAACUUGACUUAUCUUCGACUGAGUGGCAAUCACUUGGAGGGACCAUUACCACCAUCUUUGAUUAACUGUGUCAAUUUGCAAUUUCUUGAUGUUGGCAAUAACAACUUGAGCGGCCCAAUUCCAGAAUGUCUUGGAAACUCAACACUUGAAGUCUUGGAUAUGAGAAUGAACAAGUUCAGUGGCAGCCUCCCUCAAACAUUUGCAAAAGGUUGUGUUUUGGCAAGUUUUAACCUUAAUGGCAAUCGGUUAGAAGGACCAUUGCCUCCAUCUUUGGUUAAUUGUCGGCAUUUGGAAGUUAUAAAUGUUGGGAAUAAUCAGAUUAAUGAUUCCUUUCCCCACUGGUUAGACGUUCUUCCCGAAUUGCAAGUACUUAUAUUGCGUUCUAAUAGAUUUUGUGGUCCCAUUGGUGAUACCAAAACAAGAGUUCCUUUCCCGAAGUUGCGAAUAAUUGAUCUCUCUUACAAUCGACUCACCGGUGUUUUGCCAAUAUGGUAUCUGAAUGGUUUUAAAGCCAUGAUGCACGGGGAUGACAAUAGUAUUAAAGUCAAUUAUAUGUGGUCGCUGAAUUAUUCUUACUAUGAAUCAAUAUCUCUGACUAUGAAAGGCAAUGACAUACAAAUGGAGAGGAUUUUAACCACUUUUGCAACUAUUGAUUUGUCGAGCAACAAAUUUCAAGGGGAAAUAUCAGUAGUGUUGGGAAAGCUUAAUUCACUCAAAAGUCUCAACAUUUCUCACAACAACCUGACAGGUGGCAUUCCAUCGUCGCUAAGAAAUCUGAUAGAGCUUGAAUCUCUAGACCUCUCUUCAAACAAGCUUACUGGACGUAUCCCAACACAACUGGCAAGUCUCAAUUAUCUUUCGGUGUUGAAUUUUUCGAACAACCAGCUCGAGGGACCCAUACCAAGAGGACCCCAGUUUAAUACAUUUGGAAAUGAUUCCUAUUCUGGUAACUCGGGGCUGUGUGGAUUCCCAUUAUCGAAAAGCUGCAGCAUUGAUGAGGCACCAGAGCCAACAACACCAACAGGAUUUAUCGAAGGAGACGAUGCUUCAAGCUGGUUUGAUUGGAAGCUCGCUAAGUUGGGUUAUGCAUCUGGAGUGGUGAUCGGCUUGUCCAUUGGAUACAUGGCAUUUGCGACUGGAAGGCCACAAUGGUUUGUAAGAAUGAUCGAAAGGAAGCAAUCCACGAAGUUGAGAAGGGUGAUCAGACGAGGCGGAGCAGGUAGAAGAAGUUUGUAGGUGCAUCUCUAAAGGCCCAGGUGAGUAAUUAUUAGUUUGUCUUUUGGAAUUAUUAGCUGGUUUCUACUGUUCUUUGAGUAGAUAGCAUGCUGAUAUUAUCGUAAUCUAGCAAUUGACUUACAAAAACCACCAUCCUAAUUAAUUUCAGAUUAUGUUUAUUAUCUUCAACAUCUAUAGUGAGAAAGAAAAUUUUAACUGAAUUAUUGAUGUGGUUGUUUUCUUCAGGAAUUAUAAACUCCUAGAAGCUAUCAGUGGAAGUCAAAUAAUCCUCCAAGUACUCAAAUUGUUUUUACUUUAAUUUCAAUUUCAUGAAAUUGCUUUUACUUUUAUUUCCAUUUCAUUAGAACAUGUAAUCACAGACGUAUGUUUUGAUGGUAAAAUGAUUUGAAGGAAAUUGUGUGGGGGGAACUCUACACUUAUAUCUUCAAAUUUGGGCGUAGAACGUACUAUAUCAAAGUUUGAGAGCGGAAAACAUUCUUAUUAAGUGGGUGCAUUGCCCUCUUUGAGAAAAUGUAUUAAAUGAAAUCCCACACAUCUGCUAAUGGGAUUGUACAACGUUGACGGCACUCACAUCUGAGGGUUUAAAGUAAUUUUCGUAGAUCUUUUAUUGUAAUAUAUGUAUCUAUAUUUCAAAAGGAAGAAACCACCGUCAUCCAAAUUUAAUUAAGAAAAAUCUUCACUUUUUCAUAUAUCAACUUUUUUUCGUUUUGUAGAAACAAAAAUAAUUAUGCGUAAAAUGAAACCAAACUGCCAUUAAAUUUAGAGGGGUUUUCAUAGCGAUGCCAUACCUUAACAGCAGUCCCCACGUACGGCGCGGCCAAUGAUUCCACUUAUAACAUGUUCUUAAGAUAAUUUGAUUGGGUGUAAAAAGAAAAUGGUUUGAAUAAUUGAAAAAACAUUGGUCCAAAAUCUCUAACCUUUUAUGAUCCUUGUUCAAAUGGCCCAGUACGUGCCACGUCAACAUGUGCAAACUCAUCCACGUCACCAGCCUCAGCGCUCUCGCCACGUCAUCACUCGAUGAUCAUUGGAUUAAGAAAAACAGUUGAAUUGGGUCUCGUCAGUCGUCACAGAGGCCGAGCACAAAAGACAAAGAGAAACCGAAAUGGCGCGAGCUUUGCUUCAUUUGAAUCGCACAGCCACGGCCAUAAUAAUUAUGUUGAUUGAUGUGGUUGGACUUUCGUAUGUUAUUAUUUAAAUCCCCUAAUAUGUUAAAAUUUAAAAAACUGUAAAACUUGUUUAAAGUAACAUAAAUAUAAAAAUUACUCUACUCAAAAUCUCAACCAUAAAUUAUAUAAAUAACUAAAUAUAAAUACAAAGUUAAAAACCAUGUCUCAUUCCUUUAAAAAACACACAUUGUGGAAUUGGGCUGCUCAAGUUGUUAUUCCUGAAAUUAAUAAACAUUAAACCGAUACAAUUAACUAAAUAUGGUGACAAUGGUCCUUCUAGGCGAUUGUCAUUCAGCGUAAGCAUACAAAUUGCAACCUUUUUGCAUAUGAUUGUGGGAUUCUACCACGAAGAUUGUUCAUUCUAACAUCUAAGCACCCCACUGUAAAGUUUCCAAGGCACGGCUGAAGCUAUUAUUGGACAUAGAGAUGGCCACUCGCCAAUGCGAGUAUGUUUUAGAAGGGCACGUAGCAUGGUAUGCACACAAAUUAACAAACUAGAUAGGGCUGAGAAUUUUAAGUAUGUGGUCCUUAAAAUCAUGUCCUUCUCUAAAUGCAACAAUGGAAAAUAUCAAAUAAUCGUGACUCAAUUAAUUGUAGCAAUAAUCAUGUAGGAGAUGAUAUGAGCUUAAUUUGGGUGUACAUCUUUGGUUUUAUAAGUUGAAUUUGAAUGUGUAAUAUUAUUGUUCUGAAACUCAAUAAGAUAAUUGAUUGGGUGUAAAAAGAAAAUGGAUUGAAUAAUUGAAAUAACUUAAGUCCAAAAUCUCUGACCUUACAUGAUCCUUGUUCAAAUGACCCAGUACGUGCCACGUCUACAUGUGAAAACUCAUCCACGUCACCAGCCUCAAUAUUAUCGCCACGUCAUCACUCAACAGGUUACCAGUGACGAUAAUUUGGAUAAGAAAAAUUGUUGAAUUGAGAGCCUUCACUCUUCACAGAGAAACCAAAAAAGCGCGAGCUUUGCUUCACUUGAAUAGCACAGCCAUGGCCUUAGUGGCCAGGGCUAAAGCCUACAAGUGCUACUACAGAGACAGUUCUUGAUGGAGCUCAGUUUCAAAUGAAGAACCAAAACACCCGCGUUUUGGUACUUGGAGUUACGGGUCGGGUCGUUGGAUCCACUGCUGUUUCUCUCUACAAAUUCUGCACCAACCUUCAUAUUGUAGUUGGCUCUCGAAACAGGUCAAAUCAUCAAUGUCCUUUUCUUUCUUCUGUUUGGUUUCCGAAAAAAUGCAAGAAAUAAAGGAGGGAAAUUUUUAAAGCUUUGUUAUUUUCUGUUAUUUUUAUGUUUACUAUGUUUCUUUGGUUCUUUUAAAAUUUAAAUUCAAGGUGAUGGCUAAGGGUAAACUGCAAUGCUUUUACAUGAUUCCGAAAGCACAUUUCUAAACAGCCACUCAACUACAAGCGAUUGUCAUGUCCUGCAAUUGUAGAUUAAGGCUACAUUAGGUAGUGGUAUUGUGCGGUCGAGGCUUUUUAAGGCACAUCUACUUUUAAAUGAGAGCUACUGUGAAAUCAAAGUUUUAGUUAUAAAAUAAAAGUUUAUAGUGUUUGGUAAUUUUUUUAAAUAAUAAUUUUGAUAAAAAUAGUAAACCUAACAUAGGUUAGGCAUUUGUGGAUAAAUUUGCUUUAAUUGUCAAACUGUGGCUAUACUAUUUACUAAAUAUUUUAGAGUGCCUAAACAAGCCAUUAUAAAAUUACCAAUUAUACAAAAAAUUGUAAUUCUCUCACUUUUUGGUUUUCAUAAGCAUUCGAAAGGCAAUCAUAUCUUUUUCUUUUUUUUUAUUGAUAUGCUUUGACCACGGUAUGUUAUUAUUUUAGAAUGUUGUCAAACAUGUUAGUUCUUGGAUGGAACUAUAGAGUUGUGAAUUCAAAUAGUUAUGGCUGGAAUGUUUCCUAAUUUAGAGUGUUGCUGAGAAAAUUCUGCAUACUGGCAGGGAAAAAAGUGCCACAAUGGUCUCUACACUGAGGAAGAAUUCUGCAUUUGCUGAAGUUAACGUUGACAAUGAAGGCUCAUUAUUAAUGGCUUUAAUGUUGUGUUUACUUUCUGAAGUGGGAGUAAGGAGUGUGGAUUCCUCCCACUCUAAUGUUCACUUCAACAUUUUAAGGUAGGAUGGGGAGUGGGAGUGGGACUCCAAUGUUCCGCUCCCACCUCUUCCUUUUCUACCCUCUUUUUAUUAAAUUUAAUAUAAUUAUAUUUAAUAAAUUAAUUCCACUCCCACCUCUUCCUUUUCUACCCUCUUUUUAUUAUAUUUAAUAUAAUUAUAUUUAAUAAAUUAAAAUAAAUAAUAUUAUAUUUAUUUAAAUAAUAUUAUUAUAUUUAACUAAAUAAUAAUUUGUAUUGAUUCUAAGUUAAAAUUACUUAAAAAUAAUAUUAUUAUAUUAAUAGAGAAUUAAUAAUAUUACUAUAAACUAUCUUUAUCUGAAAAUAUAAUACUAUUAUAUUUAUUUAAAAAUAAUAGUAUUAUAUUUAUUUAAUAUUAAUAAUUAAUAGUAAUAAAUAGUUUAUUCUAAGAAAAUAUUAAUUUCGUACUAUCUUAAUAGUAAAAAUGUUUUAUUUAUAUUGCCCUUAUCAAUAAUUUUUAAUUUACAUACUUAAAAUUAAAAUUAAUAAAACAAUGUGAUGUACAGAAUUAAGAAUAUUAAGAAUUAUUAUAAUUUUACAAAUAUAAUAAAAUAAAUAUUUACUCAUCAAAUAUAUAUUGUUAAUAACUUUGUAAUUAAAAACUAUAAUUCUUUAAAUAAAGGUAAAAUUAUAAUUUGAAACUAUUUACUCCCAAUUCAAGAUAAAGUAAACACAUAAAUUAGAUUCUUAUUUCCAUUUCAUACUUCCAUUCUGAUGUAAGUAAACAACAUGCUCUCACUCCUACUUUACACUCUCAAUCCUAAAAUUUCCACUUUUCAGAAUUCUUACUUCAAUCUAAAAUGUAAACACUACCUAAGAAGUGUGAUCAUUCCUCUCGUACUAGAUGUAUCUUCUGUUACUCCGCAUCAAUAAUUAUUUUUCUUCUAGGGUCGUGGUAAAGGAAUUUUUUCAGGACAGAUAUUUCGUUAUUGACAAUAUUUUAAUGAUGUUUUAGUCUAUAGUUGAAAUGCUGCAACUUUGCUUCUGCAGAUGUGGAUCUUGUGGUUCAUGCAGCAGAGCCUUUUCAAGAGGCACCGAAAUGCACUGUAUUGGAAUUUGCCAUGGAAACCAAGGUGAGGAAAGGUAAAUGUUGUGUUUGAUUCUCUCUUUUCCAAGUCCAGUUUUCUACGUUUUAUAUAUGUGAUGAUUGAAGUAUGUAUACAACUUUACUAUGUAACCGAGAUGUCAUCUUAUGUGUUCUUUUUGUGUCUCCUAACAGACAGCAUACAUUGAUGUUUGUGACGAUACCAGCAACUCUCAGCCCGCAAAGUCCUUCGAGGUUAAAGCAAUAACUGCAAACAUUCCAGCCGUAACUUCUGAAGGAAUCUAUCCAGGAGUAAGCAAUGGUGAUUUUAUGAACAUUCUUGUCCUGCAAUCUGCACUUCUACUGCAGAAAAUUAAAUAUAUGAUGUGAAGUGAAGAGUAUGGAUGGAUAGAGCACAAAUUCUGCAAUUGAAACAUGUAAAGCCUACAAAUUCUUGCUUUAGAGCUAAAACAUCAUUGUUGGUGAACCCAUAGGCCUGGCUCCAAAGCUCUUAUAUAUUAUGGACAGGAUCCAGCGUGCUUGUGUUCAUAUACAUGAUUUUUGCCACCGGAAGACCUCAGUGUUUUGUAAAGAUGAUUGAACGGAAGCAAUCUAAGAAGGUCACGAGGAGGGUGCAUCCACUGCUCCAAGCUAUUUGUAGGUUGCACGCUGAUUUUGAUAUAUUCUGAACUACUAUUUGAACUGCAUAAUAAUGUGACGUGUUUUUUGUACAGGAAUUUUAGACUCAUGGAAGGUAGCAUUGGAAGUGAAUCAAUCCUCCUGGUGCCAAAUUUGCCUUGCUUUAUUUCCAUAUCUUUAUUGGUAAUUAAAUUUAUAAAAUAUUUGAGGGAAAAAAUGAUUCGAAAAAUUAUUGAUGUGGGAAAUGGCGUGGGCUGACUUUGAUUUAGUGCAUCUCUGGGCUAUGAAAUGUUGAAUUUGGGCGUACUUGGAAGCCUGCAACAAGAUGAACAACAUUCACUGUCAUUUAGGAAAUUACCCAUGAGACUAUUGACAAAUUUCAAUGUUUCUGGACUAAAUAUCGCAUUUCAAGUUACUUAAUUUCGAGCACUUUAGGAAUCUUCUAUGAUUUUAUUUUUAUUUUUAUUUUAUAAGAAGUUCAUUUGUUACUUCAGUGUUAUAUCUUUUUCUUACUCUAAUUUCCAGUAUUUUUCUAAUAAUGGUUGGAAUCUGCUGUGUUCAUAGAUUAGGCAUUAACAGGCUAUAAAACCUCAAGGCUAAACAAUUUUUAUCAAUUAAACAUAUUAUUCGGAAACUUUAUUUCUUCUUUUCGUCUCACUUUAGAAAUAUUUAUAAGCCCAACGAAUUUGCCCGUUUAACAAAUUGUUCUUUGUAUGCGCCAUGGGGAAAAUCAAAUAAUAUUUAUAGGCUAACUUCAAUGCCUUCUUGCAUAUAAUUGUAAGAUUUGGGCAUUUAAUAUGUCAUUUGAAGUACGCAAUGAGAUGGAUAAAAAUCUUUUCCUUCUCGUGAUGUAUGCGAGACUUUUUGCCAAAUUCCAAUGCCUUCUUGCAUUAAAAGUGGGACACAUUAUUUUGUAUUAAAACGAAUUUGCCAGUUUAACACAUUGUACUAAUCAAAUAACUUUAUUUGAUUCGCUAUUCGAUCAUAAGGGAUGUAGGUGUUAUAACAUAUAUAUGGAUACAGUCUAUUCCUCUACCUUAUAUAAAACAAUAAUAACACCAACUGGAGUCUAGGCGGCUGCCACAUCACCAUGUACGACAGACAACUAACAUUUUUCUUAUCUAUAUAUCGUUUGAGCUUUAAUUUGGACUGGUUCAUGGAAAUUGAAUAAUCAAAGUCUACUAAAGACGUCAAGAAAGGAAACGAGUAAAAUACAAACAUAGUCUAUCAAUGUUUAAUGCUUAAUGUAACGUUACGUGUUGGCUGUAUUAAUAGAAAUUCUCCGCAUCUGCCAAUAGGCUCGUAGCCCCUUGACAACACUCAUGCUCUCAAAUCUUGAGAGCAAUUAAUUCGUGGGACUCACUUUUUUCUGUCAGUAUAAUUAGAUAUGGGUAGAUUUUUUCCACUAAUAUAAAUAGAGCAUAUAUCCCUAACAAAUUUACGAAAUUAUCCAUCUGACUUUUAGGAAAUUAUACCAUUUCAGGACCCAAAAUUGCAUUUGAAUUUAUUUUAAAUUACAGCGCUGAGGACCAACAAAGUGUUGGCUCCACUGGCAAUGGAGUCCCCUUAAGUGGCUUGACUGGGUUUGCUCCCCAGUUCGAGUCGCAGGGAAGUCGCCUUUGUUGGGAGAACAUGUGCCUCCCGGUUCGAGCGGGGACUUCUAGUCUGGGUUGUGGUACGGGCUUAAAGGUGUCUCCCAUAGUUGGGGCCCUCCCCAGGAUACCUCGUGAUUAUAUCAAAAAAAAAAUUACAGCGCUGAGGAAACUUCUAAGAUUUGUACUUUUAUUUUCAUAACAAAUUGUUAAGCAACUUCCGUUUGUUGCGUUUUUAAUUAAUUUCAAUUUAAUCCUUAAUCUUCUCUGAAUUUCUUUUCUUUUUUUUCAGCUUAGGAGAGCAUAUUAACGCCUACAUAAAAGAAGCUAUAUACCACUGUAAAUAGAGUACUAUUAGUACAAAAUUAAUUCAAACUAGUGAAAAAGAUCACAAAUUUAUAAAGCCUUACUGUGGAAUGCUCAAUGUUGACUUAGGAAAAGGGUUUAAGAUCUAUAUUGAGAAUUGAUCAAGCAAUUUCAGCAUAGAGAUUACACACAUAUAUAGUAAACAAUUAAGAGUAAAUGGAAGGUUGAAUUUUACAAAACUAGCGACAAAUGCACCAAUAAACUAGACUUGGUGCUCUGACUCUAAAGGUGUUCUAUUUAAUUAGAUUCCCCUGUAGUGGUGUGAUUAAAAGAGAUGGAUAGAAAAGGUUAUUUUAACUUAAGAGGUGGACUUGACUAAAGUGUUCAUUAAUGACAUGACGUUGAGAAAGAAAGACUUAUUCUCUACAUACCUCUUAAUUUGGGCAAUCCUACAUCAGUAACUUUCAACUUUUUUUUAUUCUUCCCAUGGGUUUCAUUAUCAUAAUUGUGGAAAAAAAGUUGUUGUUUGGAGUUUUGCAAAAUUAGCCAUAAGUUCAUGCAUCAACUAGAUUCCAAAACAAUAUCAUCAGGCUCAGUAUAACAAAGGACUUGGUGCAUACUCUAAGUCCAAAUGAAUUAUAAUUAAUUAGAUUAUUUCAUCCUCAAUUUUAAACGUUAGUAUUGAUCAAUCUUAAAAGUAGAUUACCCAUAUUAACUUGCAGUAAACUAAUUAAGAAGUAAAUGGAUGGUCGAACAACCUGCUUAACAAAUCGAAACAGAGGAGGGAAAAAUAUGAGUCUAGCUGGCUGUUACAUCUCUUUUUACAUACAUAAAUAAAUAUCAAAAUUAUUAUUAAUUGGAUGCAGCUUCAGCUUUGGUGCUGGUUUGUGAAAAUUGGAAAAACUGGAAAAUUGAUAGCUCUUUCUCCUUUUGAAGAAUCAAAGUCUACUUUAAAUAAUAAUCCCCAUCAAUAUUUAAUGCUUGUUAUUGACUUUAAACCAGCGGCCGCUUUCAGAAAGAAAGACUUCAAUCGAAAAGUAAAUAGAUUCCCUCCUUUACUUCCACUUCAUGAGUUACAACUAACCAUUUCACUUCUAUAUAUGGUAAUUUCUCUUCUUGGGAUUUCAUCAGGAGAAAAAAAGGAAAAAAAGAAAAGAAAAGAAAAGAAAAUGGGAUAAUAUCACUCAGCCUUAUCAACUUUUGAUUUGCCUGCAGUUAUUGUUCUUGUAUUAACGAGGCUAUGUAUCAUUCAAUUAACUAAACACAUUUUGGUGAACAUACAACUGAAAUCAUUUUCACACAAUAACGUAGCAAAAAGCUACUACAUAUCACAAUGUUGACCACUGGGCUAAUCAAGCAUUUACCUUUCCUAAUACAAUUUAUCACAAAACGAUUAUCCCUUUUCAUAUUUUAAGUUCAGUAGUAAGAAAACAGUGUCCGUUUCAUAUUUUCAGUUAUUGCUCAAUCCCUUUACAAAAAAGUAUGUACAUUUACAAGGGAUAGAAGAUUUUGGUUUGACUUUGAUAUGACCAUAAAUACUAUUGAAAUUACAAGCUUUAGAAGUUCACAAAAUAAAUAUUGUAAAUUUAAGGGGGCUAAAUCAUAAGCUUUACAAAUAAGUGGAUUCAAUUUUAGUUUGUACCUUUAUCAGUUAAUCUAAUUUUCCAAUUUUCAAACCAAAAUUUAGUUUUUAAUUUUUUGAUUAAAUUUCUUUAGAAAAUACUCAACUAAAUACUAUUUAUAGUUAAAUAUUAGUUUGAAUGAACACAUUCAUAGAUAAUUGUGUAAGCAAUUUAUUUGGUUAAUUAAUGGUUGUAAUCUUUAAAAAUGAGAAUUACUAAUUUUAAAAAAUUCCAAUGGUUACUGUAUUAAAAGUAUGUUUGGAACAUAGCAUUGCAUAGUAUUAUAAUACUAUUCAUAUUAAUUUAUCGCUAACCUAUGUUUGGUAAUUUUAGAAGCCACAUUGUGGUGCAUGUGCACCAGAAUGUGCCAACUGUUGCCUCAAUUGAGAUGUUGAACAUAUUCUAAUUAUCAUUUAAUAAUAAAUAAAAUAAAAUAGAAGUUAAAUUAUAAUGUUUUUAUUUAAUAACACAAUAUUACAUUAUAUUUAUACAUUAGUAAUUAAUAUAAAAUAAUAAUUUAAUAACUAUUUUAAUAUAAUUAUUGGUAAAGUAAUAAUAAAUCUAAAUAAUACUAAUUUAAUAUUAGUACAAAAUUAACAAAGUACAAUUUAACGCUAAAUAUUAUACAAUAUUAUUAUAAUACAAUUCUAAUUCAAUAUCUCAUAAAGUGCAUUAAAAGACAUGAUACGGUAUAAGUGAAGAGUAAUGGAUUUUAGUUUGCAUUAACGUAUGCCCAUUACUAUAAACCAAUGGCCCAACACUUGGCAUGUCAAAGACAAAAACUAUCCAUACUGGCGCCACAUCAUCACUCAUUGUAAACUGAAAAGAAAAUUUUUGAUAAGAAAACAGUUGAAUAAUUGAAUUUCGAGUCUUUGGUGGACAUUAUCCUUUUUAUAGUAAAUAUAUCUUUGAGUUAAACAGUUACUAAAACAUUGGGGCUAAUUUUUCAUUUAACUACAAAAUUACUUUUAUUGGAACCCAUAAAACAAUUUUUAAGAGGUUAAUUAGUUAUGUCACAUCUUCAACUAUUGUCAAAUUAUUAUUCGAGUUCAUCAUUUAAGUGGUAAAUGCGUUACUUAAAACAUUUCAAAUGAUAUAUUAAACAAAUAUUUUGAGGAACAAGGCUCAUUAUGUCUCCUCUCAUUAGUUGUAUUUUUAAUUUCUUUUUAAAAAAUUCUCUCAUAUUCAAUUAAAAAAAAUCAGCCACUCAAAAAAAAAAAAAAAUACUUAGCUUCGCGGCUGAAUGGGGCUAAAUUAUGUAUUGUUUGACUAGCAAAACUCUUACCACAUCGGCUGCCCACGUCAUAUGUGCCCACUAAGUUUAUUAUGGUGAAGUCCAUGUCAACAUGUCAAAACUCGGCCACGUCAUCAACUACGUCAUCUCUCAACUAGUUAUAACGGAUGAUAACUUGGAUGAGCAAAACAAUUGAAUUGAGUCUCUUCACAAAAGUAGGACCAUAAUUAUAACUAAUUUAUAAAAUUUAUAUUACUUUAUUUGCAAUAUCGUUUUUAAUUAUGUCUAUAUUAGUAUGAAUCUUAAACUCAAGUUUUGGAUUAAUAGAAUCUAGUAUUAUUAAAGUCCUUUGGGAUAGACUAAUAAUAACUUAAUAUUAAAAAUAAUUUUCAUUAUUUAUGUUACCUUAUUAAUUAUACUUCUUGUUUUAUUUUAUUCCUAUCAGAAGCUAUUUAUUUAUUAUUUUUAUUUUAUUACUAUAUUUAUAUUUAUUUAGGUUAUUAUAAUCAAAGGUUAUAAUAGUUAUUUAUAAGGAGGGUCUAUGUGACCACCUAAGCAAACCUUAGGGCCGUGGUUACGGGGGUGGUCCUUUUUCCCUAAGCAAUAAUGUAUGAAAUGACCUUGAAUGUACUUAAAUCAUAUGCAACCUAUUUACUAUCUCUCUUUGAGAGUUUUUUUUUUUAUUGAAUAUUAGAUAUUGAGAGACUUAAUCAGAUGCGAUGAGCAACAUGUCACCUAAUUAUAGACUGGUGUGUUAAAAGCUUGGUCAAUUAUCAAGUAACACGUGGUAUCACGCACAAUAACAUACACGAUGAUGCACAUCUGAUCAUUCUUUUUGGAUAUCAAUUGAUCUAAGCCUACAAGUUCAACGUAUAGAGUACACGUAUUUACAGUAGAAUACAAAGUGUGUCAACUUGCUUAAUAAACUAAAACAUAAUCAAAAUAGAGGAGGGAAAAUGAACAGUGUGUCUAUGUAUGUGUAAUUGGAGUUUGGAUCUUACGGACUUAGUCGACUAACUUUCAAAUAACUUCAUUUGAUUCGCCAUUGGAUGAUAAAGGAGGUAUGUGUUAUAACAUGUAUAACUUCAGAUUUCGAAUUUCAACCCCAUUCCUAUGGAUGUGGAGAAAUUUGAAUAGUCAUAAAAUUAUAAAUGGAUGUGGAGAAAAUUGUAGUGAAGUAAUUAAGAAGUAAAUGGAAGGUCUAACAGCUUGCUAAGAAGCUGAAAUAGAAUCAAAACAGAGAAGGGAAAAUGAAUUUUGUCUGUGUAAAGUGUCCGUUUAAUGUCAGUUUGAACCAUGAGUUUCAUAGCCGUGGAAAAGAAAUUGAAGUAGUUUGGAAUUUUACUAAAUUGACCACAAAUUCAUGCACCUACUAGAUUCCAAAACCAUAUCGUGAGGCUCCCAGUAUAACAAGACUUGGUGCAUGCUCUAAGCCUAAAUGAAUUACAAUUAAUUAAGAUACUCCUCCUCAAAAGAUAGUAUUGAUGAAGCUUACAGUUAGAUUACACAUAUUAAUUUGUAGUCCACUAAUGGAAGGUCUAACAACUUAGCUUAACAAACUGUAACAGAGUCAAAACAGGGGAGGGAAGAUGAAUUGUGUUUGUGUAAAUGACUGUUAGUCUAGCUAGCUGUUACACCGGCAAAUAUGACAGAUAACGAACAUCUCGCCGAACUUAAGUAAAUAUCUAAAUGGUUAUUAAUUGGAUACAGCUUCAGCUUUUGGACUGGUUUGUGGAAAUUGAAAAAAUUUGAAAAGUGUUCCUCUUGAAGAAUCAAAGUCUACUUUAUACGUAAAGAAAGGGGAUCCCAGUAAAGAUAAUCCAUCAAUGUUCAGUGGAAUAAUUAAAAGUGAUUUUUUAAUUAUUCCACUGCCCAACAUGAGAUUCCAAAGCAAGACUUGGUUCCCUAAGUCAAUAAGUAUCGAGGGGUCCACACGCAUUUCCGCGAGGCAUUAAAUAUAUUUUAAUUAUAAUUAUAAUAAAUAAAAUAUAAAAUAAGUUAUAUUAUAAUAUUACACAAAUAGAUUACACAUAUUAUUCCUCCUCAUCUUUCUUAACAAGUAGAUUACACAUAUAUAUUAUCAAGAAGUAAAUGGAAGGCCGAACAACUUUUUUAACAAACUGAAACAGAAUUAAUGCAGAGGAGGGAAAAUCAAUUGUGCUUUGUGCAUAAUGUAUAUGACUGACUAACUAACUAAAUUAAUGGUGUUGGAUUAAUAGAUGGGAAGACGUUCAAGAAGCCACGUUGUCCGUACGAGAAGGAGCGUUUAGAUGCCGAGUUGAGGCUGGUGGGAAGUUUCGGGCUGCGGUGCAAGAGGGAGCUGUGGAGGGUUCAGUAUGCAUUGAGUCGGAUUCGCAACGCGGCGAGGGAUCUUCUCACUCUGGACGAGAAGGACCCUCGCCGCAUCUUCGAAGGCCAGGCCCUCCUUCGCAGGAUGUUUAGGUACGGCCUUUUGGAGGCGACUCAGCAUAAAUAACACAUAACUAAUAUCAUUCCGCGUCGAGCACGUCGUCAAGAUCUCCCUCUUGAAAGGAUUCCACUUACCACCUAAAUUCCAAAGCAAGAAGACUUGGUGCUGUAAGCCAAUAAAUAUUAUAUUAUUAAUUAAUUACACACCAUAUUCAACUUCUAUAAAUAGUCAUUAUAUCUCUCUCUCUUCUUGUGAUUUCAUCAUCCAGAAAAGAAAAAGAAAAAGAAAAUGGGUUAUAUCACUCAGCCUUAUCAACUUUUUAUUUGCCUCCAGUUAUUCCUCUUCUAUUCUCAGUGUUCAGCAAUACUUUGCUCUCACCACCAAAGUUCUGCUUUACUCCAAUUUAAGCAGCUCUUUUCCUUUGAAAAAGAUUGUUCAUCCGGUUGUGAUAUAUUUCAACAAAUAUCUCGUCCAAAGAUGAUGUCUUGGAAAGAGGACGCUGAUUGCUGCUCCUGGGAUGGAGUAACAUGUGAUUCGGUGACGGGUCACGUGAUUGGCCUCGACCUCAGUUGCAGUUGGCUUCACGGCAACAUCCCUUCCAACAGUAGCCUUUCCUUGCUUCCUCGCCUGCGAAAGCUCAACCUAGCCUUCAAUGAUUUCAAUUUCUCUAAAAUUUCUUCUGGUUUUACUAUUCAAUUUCCAAGUUUGACACUCCUUAACCUCUCUUUCAGCAAUUUCACGGGGCCAAUUCCUGCAUCACUAAGUAACAAUAUUACACAGCUUGCUUAUUUGGAUCUCUCAUCUAACAGUUUUAGUGGUCACAUUCCAUCAUCUUUUUCAAAUCUGCAGCAGCUUCGUCAUUUAGAUCUUCGGGGCAAUAACUUUGUUGGUGAAAUUCCUGCGUCAUUAGGUAACAAUAUCACACAGCUUGCUUAUUUGGAUCUAUCAUUUAACAGUUUUAGCGGUCAGCUUCCAUCGUCUUUUUCAAAUCUUCAGCAGCUUCGUCAUUUAGAUCUUCAGGACAAUAACUUUGUUGGUGAAAUUCUUGUGUCAUUAGGUAACAAUAUUACACAGCUUGCUUAUUUGGAUCUAUCAUUUAACAGUUUUAGUGGUCACAUUCCAUCAUCUUUUUCAAAUCUUCAGCAGCUUCGUGAUUUAGGUCUUGGGGGCAAUAAAUUUGUUGGUCAAAUUCCGGAUAUGUUUACCAACCUAACCCAACUUUCUUCUUUAAACUUGGCAGAUAAUCAACUGAUUGGCUCGAUUCCAAGUUCAAUCUUUGAACUUGUUAAUUUGACUGAGAUCUAUCUUUCUUUUAACAAUUUCAGUGGCAGCGUUGAGCUUUACGAUUUUGCAAAGUUCAAAAAUCUUAAAUAUCUUAUUCUUUCUAAUAUUAGUUUAUCAGUUAGCACCAAAUUAACAGUCAACUCGUCUUUCCCUAAUCUUUGGGUGUUGGGUUUAUCGGCUUGCAAUAUAAGUGAGUUUCCAGACAUCCUGAAAACUCAACAUCAGUUAGACUGGUUGGACCUUUCUGAAAACCAAAUCCGUGGUAGGAUUCCCAGUUGGAUGUGGGAUAUAGGAGUACAUACUUUGUUUCGCCUAGAUCUUUCACGAAACUUCCUGACAAGCAUAGACCAUCUUCCGUGGAAAAAUCUCGAAUUUCUUACCCUUGAUUCGAACCUACUUCAAGGAUCACUUCCAGAUCUACCACCUCACAUGGUACAGCUUUCAAUUUCCAACAAUAGUUUGACCGGAGAGAUUCCUUCAUCAUUUUGUAAUUUGAGUUCCAUUCAAUAUCUUUACUUAUUCAACAAUAGCUUGAGUGGACAAAUUCCACAGUGUCUUGGAAACUCUACACUUGAAACUUUAGAUCUCGGAAUGAACAACUUCCAAGGUAGCAUCCCACAGACAUAUGCAAAGGGCUGCAACUUGACUUAUCUUCGGCUGAGUGGCAAUCACUUGGAGGGACCAUUACCGCCAUCUUUGAUUAACUGUGUCAAUUUGCAAGUUCUUGAUGUUGGGAAUAACAACUUGAGCGGCCCAAUUCCAGAAUGUCUUGGAAACUCAACACGUUUGUCAUUUCUUGAUGUUGGGAAUAACAACUUGAGCGGCCCAAUUCCAGAAUGUCUUGGAAACUCAACAAGUUUGUCUUUUCUUGAUGUUGGGAAUAACAGCUUGAGCGGCCCAAUUCCGGAAUAUCUUGGAAACUCAACACUUGAAGUCUUGGAUAUGAGAAUGAACAAGUUCAGCGGCAGCCUCCCUCAAACAUUUGGAAAAAGUUGUGUUUUGGUAAGUCUUAAACUUAAUGGAAAUCGGUUGGAAGGACCAUUGCCUCCAUCUUUGGUUAAUUGUCGACAUUUAGAAGUUAUAGAUGUUGGGAACAAUCAGAUUAAUGAGACCUUUCCCCACUGGUUAGACGUUCUUCCCGAAUUGCAUGUACUUACAUUGCGUUCUAAUAGAUUUCGCGGUCCCAUUGGUGAUACCGAAACAAGAGUUCCUUUCCCCAAGUUGCGAAUAAUUGAUCUCUCUUACAAUCGAUUCACCGGUAUUUUGCCAAUAUGGUAUCUGAAUGGUUUUAAAGCCAUGAUGCACGGGGAUGUCAAUAGUAUUGAAGUCAAUUAUAUGAGGUCGUUGAAUUAUUCUUACUAUGAAUCAAUAUCUCUGACUAUGAAAGGCAAUGACAUACAAAUGGAGAGGAUUUUAACCACUUUUGCAACUAUUGAUUUGUCGAGCAACAGAUUUCAAGGGGAAAUAUCAGAAGUGUUGGGAAAGCUUAAUUCACUCAAAAGUCUUAACAUUUCUCACAACAACCUGACAGGUGGUAUUCCAUCGUCGCUAAGAAAUCUAACAGAGCUUGAAUCUCUAGACCUCUCUUCAAACAAGCUUGCUGGACGUAUCCCAACACAACUGGCGAGUCUCAAUUAUCUUUCGGUGUUGAAUCUUUCGAACAACCAGCUCGAGGGACCCAUACCAGGAGGACCCCAAUUUAAUACAUUUGGAAUUGAUUCCUAUUCUGGUAACUUGGGGCUGUGUGGAUUCCCAUUAUCAAAAAGCUGCAGGAUUGAUGAGGCACCAGAACCAACAACACCAACAGGAUUUAUCGAAGGAGACGACGCUUCAAGCUGGUUUGAUUGGAAGCUCGCUAUGUUGGGUUACGCAUCUGGAGUGGUGAUCGGCUUGUCCAUCGGAUACAUGGCAUUUGUGACUGGAAGGCCACAAUGGUUUGUAAGAAUGAUCGAAAGGAAGCAAUCCAGGAAGCUGAGAAGGGUGAUCAGUCGAGGCAGAGCUGGUAGAAGAAGUUUGUUGGUGCAUCUCUAAAGGCCCAGGUGAGUAAUUAUUAGUUUGUCUUUUGGAAUUAUAAGCUGGUUUCUACUGUUCUUUAAGUAGAUAGCAUGCUGAUAUUAUCGUAAUCUAACAGUUGACUUGCAAAAAUCACAAUCCUAAUUAAUUUCAAGUUAUGCUUAUUAUCAACAUCUAUAGUGAGAAACAAAAUGAGGAUAAUGUAUAAGAAAGAAAAUUUUAACUGAAUUAUUGAUGCGAUUGUUUUUACUUUUAUUGCCAUUUCAUUAGAACAUGUAAUCACGGACGUAUGUUUUGAUGGUAAAAUGAUUUGAAGUAAUAUUGUUGCAGGAAAUUGUGCGGGGGUAACUUUGGUUUGUAAUCAUGUACUUCAAAUUUGGGCGUAGAACAUGUUAUUUCAAAGUUUGUGAGCAGACAACGUUGUUUGCCUUUGGCUCAGUGAUAUCAAUUUAAAAACUCAGAGCUUAAUUAAUAACUCUAUUAAGUGUGUGCAUUGCCCUUCUUGGAUUGACAGCACUCAUCCCACACAUCUUCCCAUGCAAGGAUUUCCACUCAUCAAUUAGCAAAAAUUGAAAAACAUUAUAAUUAAAUGUGUGUGUGUACGUAUAUGAUUCAGCAGAGUACUCCUAGUCUUAAGUUGAACAUCAAUAAUUAAUUGAAAAACAUUAUAAGUAGAUGAGAUUACAAAUAUGAUCAAUGUUUAAUAAAAUCCACCAUCAAAAAAUGAAAAAGUCCUAAUUAAUGACUUUCAUUUUUUGAUCCUUCCAAUGAGUGCACAUAUAGCCGUGGAAAAGAAGCUAAAGUAUAUAGUCUGCAAUUUUACAAAACUGGCGACAAAUCAAUGCACCAACUAGACUCCAAAACAAGAUGACGAGUUACAUUUAGUAACAAGACUUGGUGCUGUAAGUCUAAAAGUAUUAUAUUUAUUAUUACUAUUUUUUUUAAAAGUGUUGUAUUUAAUUAGAUUCCCCUGUUUUGGUGUGAGUUAAGGAGAUGGCUACGAUAAGUUUUUUAUUCUCGUAAGGGGGACUUGAAUAAAGUGCUCAUUAUUAAUGGCUUUGAGAAAGAAAGACUUGUUCUAUAUAUCCCUCUUAAUUUGAACAAUCUUUCUUCAGCAACUUCCAACCUUUUUUUAUGCUUGCCAUGGGUUUCGUAGCUGUGGAAAAGAAGUUAAAGUAGUUUGGAAUUUUAUUAAAUUGGCCACAAAUUCAUGCAACUUUCAACCUUUUUUAUGGAUUCCAUUGGUUUCAUAGCAUGGAAAAGACGACAGACAACUAACAUUUCUCUUAUCUAUAUAUCGUAAGUGUUAUAACAUAUAUAUGGAUACCGUUUAUUCCUGUAACUUGUAUAAAACAAUAAUAACAACAACUGGAAUCUAGGCGGCUGCCACAUCACCAUGUAUGACAGACAGCCACAUCACCAUAUAUCAUUUGACCUUUAAUUUGGACUGGUUAGUGGAAAUUAGAAAAACUCGAAUAAUCAAAGUCUACUAAAGACGACAAGAAAGGAAACGAGUAAAAUACAAACAUAGUCUAUCAAUGCUUAUGCUUAAUGUGACGUUGCGUCUUGGCUGUAUUAAUAGAAAUCCUCCUCAUCUGCCAAUAGGCUCGCACCCUGUUGACAGCACUCAUGCUCUCAAAUCUUGAGAGCAAUUAAUUCGUGGGACUCACUUUUUUAUAUCCAUAUAAAUAGAGCAUAUAUCCCUCAAAAAUUUAUGAAAUUAUCCAUCCGACUUUUAAAUUAUACCAUCUCAGAGCUGAUGAGUGACAAGAUGAACAACGUUACUCAUUGCCUUUGAAUAUCCAUCCGACUUUUAGGAAAUUAUACCAUUUCAAGACCCAAAAUUGCAUUUGAAUUUAUUUUAAAUUACAGCCCUGAGGAAACUUCUAAGAUUUGUACUUUUAUUUUCAUAACAAAAUCCUAAGCUACUUCCGUUUGUUGCGUUUUUAAUUAAUUUCAGUUUACACCUUAAUCUUCUCUUAAUUUCUUUUCUUUUUUUUCAAACUCGCCAAUUGCGUUGCAAUGAUGCAAUCAACCCAAUAAGCUUGUUUGACCAGAGGUCUAAAGAUUCAAGUAAUGUUAGAUUUUCCAACAAUAAUGGAGCGCCACCUAUCAAGUUGUUGUGAGACAUUUGAGUGAAUUAAACUUUCCCACUAUUUACGGAAUUUCCCCUUGAAAUUGAUUGCUCAACAAAUGAAUUGACAUGAAAAUGGUUAGAAUCAUCUGUAUUUGUUGGUCUAUUCCUUCCAUGAUCAAACUUAUCAAUUCAUAGUAGGAGUUGAAAUCUUUAAGCCUCAUAAAUUUUGCUUAAUGAUCAACACAAUUGUUAUCUCCAUAUAUCAGGCUUUAAAAUUAUCAAGAUACUGAAUUGGCAAAACACGAGUCAGUUGAUUGUGAGAGCGAUCAAUUAUUUACAGCUUUGAAAUAGGAACUCUUGUUUGGGUAUGACCAAUGGGACUGCAAAUCAGUUAGAUCGUAAUAUAAUUACUUGCAAUUUAGGAAGAAUUUCUAACCAAUGAGAAGAGGUAUCAUUAACAUGAUUGUUCACAAUAUCAAAAAUUUCCAAAUGCUGAUAGUUAACCAAAGAUUGAGGCAAUAGUCCUUCCAACUGAUUGCUAUUAAGGUUAAAACUUAGGAAGUCACAGCUUUUUGCAAACAUUUGAGAAAUGCUGCAAAGAGUUGUAAUUUGAGAAAUCUUUAACCUUAAUGACAAUCAAUUAGAAGGAUUAUUACCUCUCUCUUUGGUUAACUGUUGGCAUUUGGAAGUUUUUGAUAAUAAAAAUGAUCAUGUUAAUAAUAUCUUUCUUUAUUGGUUAGAAAUUAUUCAUAAAUUGUAAGUGCUUAUAUUACGAUCUAACCAAUUUCGUGAUCCCAUUGGUCAUAUUAAAACAAGAGUUCCCUUCCCCAAGUUGGGAAUAAUUGAUCUCUCUCAGAAUUAACUCACUGGUGUUUUGCCAACUCAGUAUCUUGAAAAUUCUAAAGUCAUAAUGCGUGGGGAUAACAAUAAUGUUGAUUUCAACUCUUACUAUGAAUUAAUAAUUUUGACCAUAGAAGGAACCGACCAACAAAUGGAGAGGAUUCUAAUCAUUUUCAUGCCAAUUGAUUUGUCGAACAAUCAAUUUCGAGGAAAAUUUUAGAAGUGGUGAGAUAAAUUAAUUCACUUAAAUGUCUUAACAUUUUUCACAACAAGCUGACAAGUUGCAUUCCAUCAUUGUUGGGAAAUCUGUCAGAGCUUGAACGUUUUGACUUCUUCUCAAACAAGCUUAUUGGGCUGAUUCCAAUGCGAUUGGCGAGUCUGAAAUUUCUUUUCUUGCUAAAUUUUUUGUACAGCCAGCUUGAGGGACAUAAACCUCAAGGACCUCAAUUAACUACAUUUUCAAACGAUUUUUAUACUGUAAACUUGAGGUUGUGUGGUUUUCAUUAUCACAAAGCUAACAUUGAGACAUUAGAAUUGUUACUAACAAGAUUGGAUAAAAGAGAUAGUAAUUCGAGCUGGUUUGAUUGGAAGUUCGCUAAGAUGACCAAUGAACCUGGUGGCCUAUGGCAUGACACAUGUACAACACAUGGCAUAAUACAGGCAGAGUUUCAGUAGGGCACCAGAACGACAUGUGUCCGUACAACACGGUAUGAGCACAUUUUGAUAGGGCAUGUGGCACGACAUUACAUGGCACGUACGCGGGUUGAGCUAGGCUGGAUUAAUAAUUUUAGGUACAUGUGCUUAACAAGCACAAUACGAUUAGAGAUAGUAUAAAACACAACACAUGAAAAGGUCCGCAAUAAGAACGUUUAUCUGUUGGGCUAGCAUACGGCUUGCAGACCAUCAAUAACAUGUGGGCCAAUACAUAUUUUAGUAUUUUUUUUUUAUGAAAGUAAAAUUGAAAUUUUAUGAUUUUACAAAUAAUUUAAAUUUGAAUCUUUUUAUCUAUUUCAUUAGCAUAGUUUUUUAAAAAUUCAUUUAAUUCUUAGUUUUAAAAAAAUACUCUAAUUGUUUUACAUUUAUAAUUUACUAAAUGAAUAGAUGAUCAUGAUUUUAAAAAAUAAAAUUAUAAAUAUCAUGAUUUCAUAAAUGUAUGCAGUAAUGUGAUUAUUGAUACGAAAAUAUAGAUCAGCAAUAAGAGUUGAAAAAAAAUUAUUUACUUAGGGAACAAGUUGAGAGAGUUUGAUAUACUCAUAAUUGCCAUUAUUGAGAGUGAAAAGCUUGAUAAUCGGAAUUUUUUAAAACAAUAAGCCAUCAGGAUUCGCUUGGGGGUGUUAUCGUUGUAGACCCUCCGAUACUUAAGUUAAAGAUUAAAAAUAACAUGAUAAUAAAUAAAUAAUAAGAGAAAAAAGAGAAUAAGAGAAUAAAUAUUGUCAUACAAUAUACAUAUUUCGCAUGUAUCUUUAUAUGUAUACACACACACAGAGACACACACCUUUGAGUGAUGAUCUCUUUAUAUAAGAGUGCUAAUAAUAAAAAGUGUUUAAAUUUUAAAUUAUAAAUACCAUGUAAAUAUUGAAUUAAAAAAUAAAAUUAUAAAUACCAUGUAAUAGCAUUGCAGUUUCGUUGGCCAUCGCCUUGAAUUUAAAUUUUAAAAGAACCAAAGAAACAUAGUAAAUGUAAAAAUAACAUAAAAUAACAAAGCUUGAAGAAGUUUACUUCUUUACUUCUUGCAUUUUCAAACUCUACUAUUUUAGGGCUCAAAAUCACUUUCUAUUCUGCAUUUUAUAAAACUAGAAAUUAAAAAUACAAAAUUCUAUGGGAAUGUCGUGUGAUGCGUGGACACUGGGUAGAUAUUCACUGUUUAUAUCUCAGUGCCUUUUUCCUCACCCCUUAUGAGUAAGCUUUGAAUUAGGUACCCAAUUUGUCCAAGAGUUAGCGAGCCAAUGAUCACUCAUUCACUCUAAUUAGAUAUUUAGUGGAUGAAAAUUGAUUGGACGUAAAAGAAAAUGCAGAUGAAUAAUCGAAAUAACUUUCAAGUCCAAAAAAGCUUUGACUUACUUGAUGAUGUCUUGUUAUGAUCACCAAAUGGCUCAGUCUGUGCCGCGUCAACAUGUGAAAACUCAUCCACGUCACCAGCCUCAGCGCUCUCGCCACGUCAUCACUCAAGCGGUUGUAACUGAUGAUAAUUUGGAUAAGAAAAACAGUUGAAUUGGGUCUCUUUUCAACGGGAGAGCACCAAAGACAGAGAAACCAAAAUGGCGCGAGCUUUGCUUCGUUUGAAUAGCACGGCCACGGUCAUAAUGGCCAGUGCUACAAGUGCUACUAAAGAGACAGUUCUUGACGGAGCUCACUUUCAAAUGAAGAACCGAAAUGCCCGCGUUUUGGUACUUGGAGGUACGGGUCGGGUCGGUGCAUCCACUGCAGUUGCUCUCUCGAAGCUCUACCCCGACCUUCAGAUUGUAGUUGGCUCUCGAAACAGGUUAAAUAAUUAAUACCCUUUUCUUUCUUCUGUUUGGUUACCAAAAAAAGCAAGAAAUAAAGGAGGGAAAAUUUUCAAGCUUUGUUAUUUUUUAAUUUUUUUUGCGUUUACUAUGUUUCUUUGGUUAUUUUAAAAUUUAAAAUUCAAGGUGAUGGCUACUGGUAAACUGCAAUGCUUUUACAUGGUUCUGAAAGCACAUUUCUAAACAGUCACUCAACGACAAGUGAUUAUCAUGUCCCACAGUUGUAGAUUAGGGCUCCAAUUGGUAGUGAUGUUGUGCGGUCGUGGCUUGUUAAGACACAUCUACUCUUAAAUGAGAGCUGCUGUGAAACGAGAGCUCUAGUUAUGAAAUAAAAGUUCAUAGUGUCUGGUAAAUGCUACCUUAAAAUAAUCAUUUUGACAAAAAUAGUAAAGCUAAUAUAGGUCAGGCAAUUGUGGGUAAAAUCGUCAUAAUUUUCAAACUGUGAUUGUGAGUGUUUACCAAAUACUUUAAAGUUGUGAUUAGAUGGUAAUAAAAAAAGAGAACCUAAACAGUCCAUAAUAAUAUUGCCAAUGAGGCAAAAAUUGUAAUUCUCUCUCUUUUUGGUUUUCCUAAACAUUUGAAAGGCUGUUUUUGUUGAUUGAUAUGCUUUGACUGUGGUAUGUUAAUAUUUAGAAUGCUGUCAAACAUGCUAGUUCUUGGAUGGAACUAUGGGGACAUGGAGUUGUAAAUUCAAGUAGUUAUGGCUGGAAUAUUUCCUAAUUUACAGUGUUGCUGAGAAAAUUUUGCAUACCGCCAGGGAAAAAGGUGCUGCAAUGGUCUCUACAUUGGGGAAGAAUUCUGAAUUUGCUGAAGUUAACAUUUACAAUGAAGGCUCAUUAUUAAUGGCUUUAAGAGGUGAGAUCAUUCCUCACUGACUAGAUGUAUCUUCUAUUGUUCCACAUCAAUAAUUCUUUUUCUUCUAGAGUCGAAGUAAAGGGAUUUUUUUUUUAUUUUGCAGCGGAUAUUUCGUUAUUGACAAUAUUUUGAUGAUAUUUUAGUCUGUAUGUUAAAUGCUGUAACUUUGCUUCGUCAGAUGUGGAUCUUGUGGUUCAUGCAGCAGGACCUUUUCAACAGGCACCGAAAUGCACUGUAUUGGAAGCUGCCAUAGAGACCAAGGUGAGGAAAGGUAAAUGUUGUGUUUGAAUAUCUCUUUUCCAAGUCCAGUUUUCUAUGUUUUGUAUAUGUGAUAAUUGAAGCAUGUAUACAACUUUACUAUGUACCCAAGAUGUAAACUUAUGUGUUCUUUUUUGUGUCUCCUAACAGACAGCAUACAUUGAUGUUUGUGAUGAUACCAUCUACUCCCAGCGUGCAAAAUCCUUCAAGGACAGAGCAAUAGCUGCAAACAUUCCAGCCAUAACCACUGGAGGAAUCUAUCCAGGAGUGAGCAAUGGUGCUUUUAUGAACAUGAACAUUCUUGUCCUGCUAUCCGCACUUCUAGCACUGUAAAUGAUACGAUUAAGUGAAGAAUAAGGAUAGAGUACUAAUUCUUUAAUUGAAACAUGUGCAGACUACCAAUUCUUGCUUUAGAGCUAAAACUUAAUUGUUGGUAAACUCAUCGACCUGGCUCCAAAGUUCUUAUAUAUGGGUGCACAUAUUGGUUUGACAGAUAGCUUUAGUGACUUUAUAUCAUUAACUUGAGUAUUGCAACUAAGAUAAAGCUCAAAGCUUUCUUUGACAAAGUCUUCAAAAUCUUGAGCUACUUGCACGACAUAAUGAUUUGAAGAAAUAAUAAUGUUGAUGUAGGAAAUGGUGUGGGCAACUUUUAUUUGUUUGUCUUGGGCCAGUAUGUUGGAUUUGGAAAUAUUGGAAGCUUGCAACGAUACAAGAAUCAUUCACCGCCUGCAGACAGCUAUGAUCCAUAUAUGCGAUUUUUGCCAUGUUUAUUUUUCAUAAGAAAUUCAAAUGCUACUUCAGAUUCUAUUAAUAAAUCCCGAAUUCUUGUACAUCCAAAUUUCAUUGUUUCAUGAUUUAUCAUAAUCCAAUAAAGUCUUGAAUGCUUGUACCAAUUCAAAGGUUAGUUGUGGAUCAACAAAAAGAAAUAAAAUGUAUGGGGCUGGACACAUGUCCUAUAUAUAUAUACCAGUUAAUUUUUUUGCCAAGAUAUCUCCACUGUUGGUUAUCUGCUUGAGUCUGAAGCAAUUGUCAACAUUAUAUUGUCUCCAAUAAAUACCUUGAUUGCAUAAAUCAAGCACUUGAUUACUAGCGUAAUCUUGGGGCUAGCUGUAUACUUAUUGUAAAAUACCCAAAUUAUUGGGAUUGAUUAUUCUACUUACCUUGUACAGAAUUAUUUUACAACUAUAAGAACUGGUAUGUCUCAACAAAUUGGGAGAACCUUUUUUCCAAAAAUUAUUUGUCUCUUUUGUUCUCUUUUAUUUGAUAUGGUAUCAGAGCUAUGCAUGUAUAAGAGAAAAUCUUGAAAUUUCUUAUAACAUCAUAGCAAGUUGUUGUGUUGUUCGCGGAUAGAGAUAUCAACUUUCAUUCGUGGAAAUUGAGAUCUUAUUGUUGCAAUCUUGAUUGAGAGUUUGAAUCGUGUCGGUGGGACAUCUUGGGUAAGUGAACAUUUUCUUUAUUCUAGUGUUUAAAAUGUCACAAUCAGAAACCUUGGGUAUCAAAUUAGAUGGGAAAAACUAUUUCUCUUGGGAAUUUCAAUUUCGCAUGUUUGUGAAAGGAAAAGACUUGUGGGGUUAUGUUGAUGGGUCUGAUUCUAGGCCACAAGAAGGAACUGAUAGUGUGAAAAUAAAGGAAUGGGAUUCAAAUAAUGCUAAAAUAAUUAGUUGGAUUUUGAGCUCUGUUGAUGCUCGUAUUGUUCUUAGUUUGAGGCCUUUUCGUUGUUCUAAGGAUAUGUGGAAUUAUUUAAAAAAAAUUUACAAUCAAGAAAACUCUGCUAGAUGUUUUCAACUUGAAUUAGAGCUGUCUGAAUAUAGUCAAGGGAACUUGUCAAUACAAGAUUAUUAUUCUGGUUUUUUAAAUCUAUGGGCUGAAUACCAAGAAUUGGUUUAUGCUACUGUUUCACAAGAGGGGCUGUCUACUUUGCAACAAGUGCAUGAAGUGUCUAAACGAGAUCAGUUUCUUAUGAAAUUAAGGCGUGAUUUUGAACCUAUUCGUGCCAAUCUAAUGUCCAGAAUUCCUUCUCCAUCUUUGGAUAUAUGUCUUGCUGAACUUCUUCGUGAAGAACAACGAUGUAUAACUCAAUCUGUUCUUGAAAUAAAGAAUAAUCAGGUAUCUAAUCCAAUGGAGGUGGCAUUUGCAUCGCAAGCACAUGCAAGGGACAUGAGCAAAGUGCAAUGCUAUAGUUGCAAAGAAUUUGGACAUAUAGCCAAACAAUGCAAAAAGAAAUUUUGUAACUAUUGCAAGAAACCUGGACAUGUGAUUGAUGAAUGUCGACGACGGCCUCAAAAUAAAAAUCCUCAAGCCUUGCAAACUACUAGCUCAAAUUCACAUUCAGAACCUAGUUCCACAAGCCUUACUCCUGAAGUGGUACAACAGAUGAUUUUUUCAGCAUUAUCAGCUCUUGGUGUUUCAGGUAAAAAUGCUUCUUCAUCUCAUUGUUACAUUGAUUCUGGUGCUUCCAACCAUAUGACACCUUCAUCCACAUCUCUUGUCAAUGUGAAACCAUCCUUGGGAAAUUUAGAAAUUCAAACAGCAAAUGGAGAAAGUGUUCCUGUUAAAUCAAUUGGUGAUAUUCCACAUACUUUGCCUUUAACUAAUGUAUUUCAUGUGCCUUGUUUAACUUCGAGUCUUAUUUCUGUUGGGCAAUUGGUUGAAGAUAAUUGUACAGUUUUUUUUUCAAAAUCUGGUUGUAUUGUACAGGAUCAAGAAACGGGGAAAGUGAUCGGGAAGGGACCUAAAUGUGGAAGACUGUUUACUCUAAGCUUGCCUGGCUAUCUCAAGAAUAAAGCCUUGUUCUCUUCACAUUAUUCUACUUUCAUUUCUCUUUUUCAAUUGUGGCAUAAACGUUUGGGUCAUCCAAAUACCAAAACUUUGUUAUCGUUGAUAAAGAGUCGAUUGAUUUCUAAUAAAGAUUUUGUUAAUUCUUCAGAUGUGGUAUUUAAUUGUGAUAGCUGUAAACUUGGUAAAAGUAAAACACUGCCUUUUCCAGUACAUCAAAAUAAUGUAAAAAGUUGUUUUGAUUUGAUUCAUACAGAUGUUUGGGGACCAUCUCCUUUUCCUUCUCAUUCUCGUAAGAAAUAUUUUGUUUCCUUCAUUGAUGACUAUAGCCGUCACACAUGGAUUUAUUUUUUACAUAAUAAAUCUGAUGUAUUUGAUGCCUUUAAACGUUUUCUUGCAUAUACAAAAAAUCAAUUUUCCACUUCUAUCAAAAUCUUAAGAUCUGAUUCUGGAGGGGAAUACAUGUCUAAUGAUUUUCAAAAUUUUCUUCAAAAUGAAGGAAUAAUAUCUCAAAAAACUUGCCCAGACACUCCUCAGCAAAAUGGAAUAGCUGAAAGAAAAAAUCGACAUCUUUUGGAUGUUACUCGUGCUUUGCUUCUUGAUGCAUCUGUACCUUCUCAUUUUUGGGUGGAAGCCUUGUCUACAGCUGCAAACUUGAUUAAUUGUAUGCCAUCAUUUAACCUUUAUAAUGAGUCUCCAUAUUUCCGUUUGCAUAAUAAACAUCCUGAUUAUACUCAAUUACGUGUUUUUGGCUGUCUUUGUUAUUGUCAUCUUCCUGCAUCAGAUAGAAAUAAAUUGACUGCACAAUCUGCAAGAUGUGCAUUUCUUGGGUACGCAUCUGAUCGCAAAGGUUUCCUUUGUUAUGAUCCCAAAGCUCGUCGUACUCGCAUAUCUCGGAAUGUUAUUUUUGUUGAAAAUAUUUAUUUUUUUCAAAAUACCCAUGUCACUACUUCUUUAUCUCCAUGUUCUAAUCUUCAUGACUUUGAUAGUGAUAUUCCUAACAAGGCAAGGUUUAAUCUUGGGAUAGAAAGUGAGCAACGAGACAAAACUAACAGUGAAGAAACAGAGGGUCCUCAGCGAGAAUCUUCCUUAUCUCUUGAUCCAAGCCCUGAAACACAUGAUCCAAGUCUUGAAACACAUGAGUCAAACACAAUAUCCGCUGCACCUCCAUUACGAAGAUCUAGUAGACAAAUCAAACCACCUGACCGCUUGUCUCUUGUGGCCACAUUGUCACCUAUGAGUAUUCCAAACUCUUAUUCCCAAGCCAAACAAUAUUCACAUUGGCAGGUUGCAAUGGAUGAAGAGCUAGAAGCGUUAAGAAGAAAUCAUACAUGGGAUAUUGUCUCUUGUCCCGCUGGUUGUACACCAAUCGGGUGCAAAUGGGUUUACUCUAUCAAACAAAAAGCUGAUGGUUCUUUGGAUCGUUAUAAAGCUCGUUUGGUUGCUCUUGGGAAUUGGCAAGAAUAUGGUAUAAACUAUCAUGAGACUUUUGCUCCAGUGGCCAAAAUGACCACAGUUCGCAUUUUGUUAGCGAUUGCGGGUUCACAAGCAUGGCCUCUUUUUCAAAUGGAUGUAAAAAAUGCAUUCUUGCAUGGAGAUCUACAAGAAGAAGUCUACAUGAAGCUUCCGCCUGGAGUAAGCUCUAAUUCAAAAGCUCAAGUAUGUCGUCUACGACGUUCUCUUUAUGGGCUUAAACAAGCACCACGUUCAUGGUUUACAAAGUUUGGUCAAAUACUGCAUCAGUUGGGUUUUCACCAGAGCUCUAAUGAUCCUUCUAUGUUUAUUCGACGUUCAGCUGCUAGUAUCAUUAUUCUUCUUGUUUAUGUAGAUGAUAUAAUUAUUACGGGGACUGACACAUUUGGUAUCCAGCAAUUUAAGGAGUCUUUGCAUUCAUAUUUUCAAAUGAAAGAUCUUGGCAAUCUCACUUAUUUUCUUGGCCUUGAGGUAUAUCAUUCAAGUGAAGGCAUCUACGUCCAUCAGCAUAAAUACACAAAAGAUUUAAUUGCUUUGGCAAGACUUGAAGAUUCAACGGUCAUAAACACUCCACUUGAGAUCAAUGUUAAAUAUUCGAAAGAUGAUGGUGACUUGCUUUCUGAUCCUACACUAUAUCGGAAACUAGUUGGGAGUUUGAUUUAUUUGACGAUUACCCGACCAGACAUCUCUUAUGCAGUGAACUUAAUGAGCCAAUUUAUGCAUGAGCCUCGACAUUUACAUCUUUCAGCAGUUAAAAGAAUAAUCCGUUAUUUGCUUGGGACUCCUAAUCGUGGACUAUUUUACAAGGCUAGCUCCCCUCUUGUUCUCAAAGCUUAUAGUGAUGCUGAUUGGGCUGGGUGUUCAGACUCUCGUCAAUCAACUACAGGUUGGUGUAUGUAUCUUGGUGACAGUCUUGUCUCUUGGAAAUGCAAAAAACAAGAGAGGGUGUCUAAAUCCUCUACUGAAGCCGAGUAUAGAGCUAUGUCGGGUGCUUGUUCUGAAAUCGUAUGGCUACGACGACUUGUAUCUGAAUUGGGUUUUCCUCAAGCGUCUCCAACGCUAUUGCAUGCUGAUAACAAGAGUGCCAUACAAAUUGCUGAAAAUCCUGUAUUUCAUGAAAGAACUAAACAUAUUGAGGUUGACUGCCACUAUAUUCGAGAUGCUUAUGCUGAUGGUACCAUUCAAUUACCUCAUGUGUCCACAACAUUUCAAAUUGCAGAUAUAUUUACAAAGUCCCUGACCAAGAUACGGCAUCAGUUCUUGGUUGGCAAAUUGAAGCUUGUUGAUUCACCAGCAUCAAUUUGAGGGAGGCUGUCAACAUUAUAUUGUCUCCAAUAAAUACCUUGAUUGCAUAAAUCAAGCACUUGAUUACUAGCGUAAUCUUGGGGCUAGCUGUAUACUUAUUGUAAAAUACCCAAAUUAUUGGGAUUGAUUAUUCUACUUACCUUGUACAGAAUUAUUUUACAACUAUAAGAACUGGUAUGUCUCAACAAAUUGGGAGAACCUUUUUUCCAAAAAUUAUUUGUCUCUUUUGUUCUCUUUUAUUUGAUAGCAAUAACAGAAAAAAAAUAGAAAAGAAAACAAUGACUAAUAUGACUAGUUAUUAUUAAAUUAGUCGUUAAAUAGUUAUUUAUUCUUAUUACGAUAAUUGAGGCAAUAAAUUGCACAUUCUUGUUUAAUUUUGAGUUCUUCAUUGAUAACGUUCAAAUUUUUAUUUUUUAUUUGAUUUUUUUUCCUAAUUUUAGGGGGGAGAAAAGGUAAAGAAUGAGAGAUUAUUUAAUAAAUUAAAUUUAGAGCACAAGCACAGAAGCAUUAAGCUCCUGCUAAACUGUUGUUCGACUUGCAAGUUUUUGGAUCAAAUAAUAAAGUUUGUGCCUUGAGAAGUUAGCUCAUGGCUGGAAUGUUAUUUCUAAUCUAGAGCUAGCGUCCUGAGACAACAGAAGUUAACAUUAACAAUAGAAGACUCAAUUGGUAGACAUUAUUCUUUUACACUAAAUACACAAUUGAGUUCACAGCUAUUCAAAAAAUGGGGCAGUUUUUUAUUUAAUUACAAAAUUACCCUUAUUGAAACCCAUAUAAGAGUAUUUAUAUUAAUUAGUUAUAUUGCUUCUUCAACUAUCAUCAAAUUCUUAUUCGAGUUCAUCAUUUAAGGAAUAAAUGUGUACUAAAUAAUCUCAAAUGAUGUACUAAGCAAAUAUUUUGAGAAAUAAGACUCAUUAUGGCUCCUUUCAUUAGUUGUAUCUUUAAUUUCUUAUUAAUGAAAUUCUCUCGCAUUGCCCAAAAAAAUAUUGUUAGCGUCACCAUUGAAAGGGGCCAAAUUAUGUAUUGUCUGACUAGUGAAACUCUUAUCAUAUCUGCUAAUACGUAUCAGGAAAAUUAUAUUGUUGCAGGAAAAUAGAUUUUCCAAAAAUCUGUCCUUUGGCCGACCGAUCCUAUAUGAUCCUUGUUCAAAUUGGCCCCGUGUGUGGCACGUCAACAUGUCAAAACUCGGCCACGUCAUCAACUUCGCAAAAUUCUCGCCACAUCAUCACUGAACUGGUUACGACGGAUGAUAAUUUGGACAAGCAAAACAGUUGAUAAUUACAAAGAGGGAACACUAAAGGCAGACCAAAGUGGCGCGAGCUUCGCUUAUUUGUACCAAGUAAAUGAAUUUUAGCUGAAAAAAAAGUAGGCCCAUAAUUAUAAAGCAAUGGCCCAGUACUAUACACGUCAUUACAAAAAAAAAAAAAAAAUCGAAACAGAGCUCAAUUUCAAACGAAGAUCCAAAACGCCAGCAUUUUGGUGCAGCCGUUGCUCAGAGUUUUUUCUUUUUAUAUGCCGAAGAAGUGCUUAUUUUCCAAAUAUAUAUCCCUUCUUUCCAUUUAUUCACUUAUAUACGACAAAUUCACCUGCAUAAAGAUUGAAAUACUCUCAUUUGUGAAUUACAAGUUGCAAAUUUUCUAUUUCAAGAUGAAGUUCAUUUACCUGUUCUUUACCAUCUUCAAAAUUUUCCUCUCAUUUUUAUUUCACUUUCUCAACUUCAAAAUUUACCUGCAUAAAGAUUUCUGAUUUCGAAUUAGAAUUGUGAUUCUUCACUUUCUGAUCCUUCCUAUGAGUUUCAUGGCUGCGGAAAAUGUAGAAGUACUAGUUUGAGAUUUUAUAAAUUGUUCAAAAAACCUCUGUCCAAUAGAUUAUAAGGAUAAGCAACAAGACUUGGUGCUCAAAAGUCUAAAAGUAUUAUAAAGACUUGGUAACUCUCUUAUUCACCUGCAUGGCAUAUCUGUUCUUGUGCCUUCAAUAAGAAAAAAGAUAGUAUGGAUUAUUUAACUCAGCCUUUUCAACUUUUGAUUUGCCUCCAGUUAUUGCUCUUAUAUCUUCAGUGGACUUGACUGAAAUGCUCAUUAAUGACUAGAAAAAAUUAUCUUAACUUAUAAGGUGGACUUGACUGAAAUGCUAAUUAAUGACUUUGAGAAAGAAAGACUUGUCAAGUUUUUCUAUACAUACCUCUUAAUUUGGACAUAUCUUAGGUCACUAACUUUCAACUUUUCUGAUCCUUCCCAUGAGUUUCACUAUCAUAGCCGUGGAAAAGAAGUUUGGAGUUUUACAAAAUUGGGAAAAAAUAUUAAUUAAGAUUACUGCUCCGCAAUUCAUGCAAUUGACCAGGAGAAAAGAUCACUUUAGAGCCUUAUAGGGGGAAGGGAUUGAAGGAAAGAUGCCUUUCUAUUUUAAGUUCAGUAGUAAGAAAGAGCAGGCAACUUGGCAUAAGUUUUCAGCUUAAGUUCAUACAGUUGACCAGUUACAUACAUAUAUGAUGACUUAAAAUAUCUGAGAGUUCGGGUUUCUUUUAGUAUAAACGCAUCUGCUUUUGGACAGGUUCGUGGAAAAACUAGAAUAUGUUUUUGAUUUGGUAAAUUAUGUAUUGUUUUGACCAGUUACAUACAUAUAUGAUAACUAAUGGAAGGUCUAACAACUUAGCUUAACAAACUGUAACAGAAUCAAAACAGGGGAGGGAAGAUGAAUUGUGUUUGUGUAAAUGACUGUUAGUCUAGUUAGCUGUUACGCCGGCAAAUAUGAUAACGAACAUCUCGCCGAACUUAAGUAAAUAUCUAAAUGGUUAUUAAUUGGAUACAGCUUCAGCUUUUGGACUGGUUUAUGGAAAUUGAAAAAAUUUGACAAGUGUUCCUCUUGAAGAAUCAAAGUCUACUUUAUACGUGAAGAAAGGGGAUCCCAGUAAAGAUAAUCCAUCAAUGUUCAGUUACAUUCGAGCGUGUUGACUACUUUUAGGAUGAAAGACUUCUAUUGUCCCAAGGAGUUUUACGAGGUCCAUACACAGAGCUGCAAACAGCGUAAGUUACACUCCCCUUAUGCAACAUUCAAAUGAAAUCCAUACAAUCAUGCAAGUCAAAUCAAUACAUACUGAAUAGCUUACCUCAGAAUCUUCACCUGCUGACGCGAGAAUGUUUAGAACCUUUGAGGAUGCAAGGCCAGUUACACUCCCCUUAUGAACAAAUUCAGUGGCAGCCUUCCUCAAACAUUUGCAAAAAGUUGUGUCUUGACAAGUCUUAACCUCAAUGGUAAUUGGUUGGAAGGACCGAUGCCUCCAUCUUUGGUUAACUAUCGGCAUUAUAAGCUGGUUUAUGUAUUGUUCAUGGAGUAGAUAACCAGCUGAUAUGUUUCAUAUUCUAACAGUUGAUAUACAAAAAUCCCAAUUCAAAUUAUGUUUAUAAUCAGCGUCUAUAGUCUAUAGAGAGAAAGAAAAUGAGGGUCAUACAUAAGAAAUCAAUGAUAGGACGUGUUCUCUUGAUCAGGAAUUUUAGACUUUUGGAAGCUAGUAGUGGAAGUCAAAUAAUCUCCAGGUACCAAAAUAUGUUUUGCUUUCAUUUCCAUUGCAUAAGAACAUGAUAUCACACACUUAUAUUUUGAUGGUUAACUUGAUCAAAAUUUUCAGGAAAAAGUUAUUUAAAAAUAAUUUUGAUGUAGGAAUGAUUUGGGGUGAAAUUCAUUUGGUGCCAUUUAGGCCACAUUUUUUCAAUUGGGCGUAUGGUAUAUACUUUUUCAAAGCUGGUGACAAGAUGAACAAUGUUGCCCAUUUGCCUUUGAGUCUGAUGCCCGUGGGGCUUUUACGAAAUUGUACAAUUUCAGGACUCAAAAUCCCAUUUGAAGUUAUUUCAAAUUCCAGCACUUCGGGAAAUUUCUAAGAUUUGUACUUUACUACUUUUAUUUUCAUAACCAAUUCUUAUUUUCUUAGCACUUUUUGGAGAACAUACAACUGAAAUCAUUUUUACCUAAUAACCUAGCAAAAAGCUACUACAUAUCACAAUGUUGACCUCUGGGCUAAUCAAGCAUUUGACUUUCCUAAUACAAUUUAUCACAAAACGAUUAUCCCUUUUCAUAUUUUAAGUUCAAUAAUAAGAAAGAGGAGGCACCUUCCAAAUGUAUGCACCUUUUUUAGUUUUAUCCCACAAAACUUUAUCACAAAACAAUGGCCUUUUCAUAUUUUGAGUUAUUGCUCAAUCCCUUUACAAAAAAUUAUGCACAUUUACUAGGGAUAGAAAAUUGAAAAGAAAAUUUUCGAUAAGAAAACAGCUGAAUAAUCGAAUUUCGAGUCUUUGGUGGACGUUAUUCUUUUAUACAAAAUAUAUCUUUGAGUUAAACAAUUAUUAAAACAUUGGGGCUAGUUUUUCAUUUAACUACAAAAUUACUUUUUUUGAAACCCAUAAAACCAUUUUUAAGUGGUAAAUUAGUUCUAUCACGUCUUCAACUAUUGCCAAAUUCUUAUUUGAGUUCACCAUUUUACUAGUAAAUGCGUUAUCUAAAUAAUUUCAAAUGAUGUAUUAAAUAAAUAUUUUGAGGAACAAGACUCAUUAUGUCUCCUCUCAUUAGUUGUAUUUUUAAUUUCUUUUUAAAAGAUUCUCUCAUAAUCAAUUAAAAAAAUUCAGCCACCCAAAAAAAAAAAAAGUAUUUAGCUUCGCGGCGGAAUGGGGGCUAAAUUGUGUAUUGUUUAACUGGUGAAACUCUUACCACAUCGACUAAUAUGCUGCUUUUGCUAGUGGCAGUGGUGGCAACAGAGCUUGCUCAUAUUGGUAGAAGUGAAAGCAAAGGAGAGACAGAGAGACUAAUUAAGGUUUAUUAUGGUGAAGUCCUGGGUCAGUCGCUUUUGCUGAAAUGAUUGCAAGUAAUCUCCCACUAUGACUGCCAUUUUUAUCUUAUUUAAGUUUCGGUGAAGCCCAUUCACAUAAAAUAAUUGGCAGGAAGUGUUAAGGAGAAAAGAUCGUCCUAAUUCAAUGUCUGGGGGUGCUGCAAUCACUUUUUAUUACUAAAUAUUUUUAAAUUGGAAUAAUGUAUUAACAGAAUAAAAAAUUUCAUAAUCUAACAAUUGAUUUACAACAACCCGAGUCCUGAUUAAAUUCAAAUAAUAAUUAUAAUCAACAUCUAUAGGAAAAUUGAAAACGAGAAUCAUAUGUAAAAAGAAAUCAUUUCGUAUGCCCAUUACCAUAUUAUAUUUGUACAUUAGAAAUUAAUAUAAAAUAAUAAUUUAAUAAUUAAUUUAAUAUAAUUAAUAAUAAAGCAGUAAUAAAUUUAAACAAUAUUAAUACAAAAUUAAUAAAGUAUAAUCUAACAUUAAAUACUAUACAAUAUUAUUAUAAUAAAAUACUAAUUCAAUACCACAUAAAGUAAUAUACUUGCAUUAUUUGGAACUGGCAUAAAGUAAAAUUAAUAAAGUAUAUCAACGCACAUGGAAAAUGCGACUUUUGAAGAAUGCAGUAAAUGGAAGGUUAAAUAGACUUCGUGCAUGCUGUAAAUUUAAAUGAAUCAUAAUUAAUUUCAAAAGGUAGUAAAUGGAAGGCCGAACAACUUUUUUAACAAACUGAAACAGAAUUAAAUCAAUUGUGCUUUGUGCAUAAUGUAUAUGACUGACUAACUAACUAACUACGAGUUUAGCUGCCUGCCACAUCAGCAUUAUAUAACACAUAACUAAUAUCAUUCCGCGUCGAGCAUGUCGUCAAGAUCCCCCUCUUGAAAGGAUUCCACUUACCACCUAAAUUCCAAAGCAAGAAGACUUGGUGCUGUAAGUCAAUAAAUAUUAUAUUAUUAAUUAAUUACACACCAUAUUCAACUUCUAUAAAUAGUCAUUAUAUCUCUCUCUCUUCUUGUGAUUUCAUCAUCCAGAAAAGAAAAAGAAAAAGAAAAAGAAAAUGGGUUAUAUCACUCAGCCUUAUCAACUUUUUAUUUGCCUCCAGUUAUUGCUCUUCUAUUCUCAGUGUUCAGCAAUACUUUGCUCUCACCACCAAAGUUCUGCUUUACUCCAAUUUAAGCACCUCUUUUCCUUUGAAAAACAUUCUUCAUGGUUUUGUGAAACAUUUCAACUACAAAUAUCUCGUCCAAAGAUGAUGUCUUGGAAAGAGGACUCUGAUUGCUGCUCCUGGGAUGGAGUAGCAUGUGAUUCGGCGACGGGUCACGUGAUUGGCCUCGACCUCAGUUGCAGUUGGCUUCACGGCAACAUCCCUUCCAACAGUAGCCUUUCCUUGCUUCCUCGCCUGCGAAAGCUCAACCUGGCUUUCAAUGAUUUCAAUGGCUCUAAGAUUUCUUCUGGUUUUACUAAUCAAUUUCCGAGCUUGACACUCCUUAACCUCUCUUGGAGCAAUUUCUCAGGGUCAAUUCCUACGUCACUAGGUAACAAUAUUACACAACUUGCUUAUUUGGAUCUCUCACAAAACAGUUUUACUGGUUAGAUUCCAUCAUCUUUUUCAAAUCUCCACCAGCUUCGUCAUUUAGAUCUUCGGUCCAGUAACAUUGUUGGUAAAAUUCCUGCAUCAUUAGGUAACAAUAUUACACAACUUGCUUAUUUGGAUCUCUCACAAAACAGUUUUACUGGUCAGAUUCCAUCAUCUUUUUCAAAUCUCCACCAGCUUCGUCAUUUAGAUCUUCGGUACAGUCACUUUGUUGGUGAAAUUCCGGAUAUUUUUACCAACCUAACCCAACUUUCUGAUUUAGACCUGUAUGGGAAUCAACUGACUGGCUCGAUUCCAAGUUCAAUAUUUGAACUUUUGAAUUUGACAUUUUUCUCUCUUUCUUUUAGCAAUUUCAGUGGCAGCGUUGAGCUUUACGAUUUUGCAAAGUUAAAAAAUCUUAACUAUCUUUUUCUUUCUAAUAUUAGUUUAUCAGUGAGCACCAAAUUAACAGUCAACUCGUCUUUCCCUAAUCUUCUGGGGUUGGGUUUACCGGCUUGCAAUAUAAGUGAGUUUCCAGGCAUCUUGAGAACUCAUCAUCAGUUAGAGUGGUUGGACCUUUCUAGAAACCAAAUCCGUGGUAGGAUUCCCAGUUGGAUGUGGGAGAUCGGAGUACAUACUUUGUAUGUCCUAGAUCUUUCACGAAACUUCCUGACAAGCAUAGACCAUCUUCCGUGGAAAAAUCUCCAAUAUCUUACCCUUGAUUCGAACCUACUUCAAGGAUCACUUCCAGAUCUACCACCUCACAUGGUACGGCUUUCAAUUUCCAACAAUAAUUUGACCGGAGAGAUUCCUUCAUCAUUUUGUAAUUUGAAUUCCAUUCAAUCUUUUGACGUAUCCAACAAUAGCUUGAGUGGACAAAUUCCACAGUGUCUUGGAAACUCUACACUUGACACUUUGGAUUUCCGAAUGAACAACUUCCAAGGUAGCAUCCCACAGGCAUAUGCAAAGGGCUGCAACUUGAUUAAUCUUCAACUGAAUGGCAAUCACUUGGAGGGACCAUUGCCAUCUUUGAUUAACUGUGUGAAUUUGCAAUUUCUUGAUGUUGAGAAUAACAACUUGAGCGGCCCAAUUCCAGAAUAUCUUGGAAACACAACACGUUUGUCAUUUCUUAAUGUUGGGAAUAAUAGCUUGAGCGGCCCAAUUCCGGAAUGUCUUGGAAACUCAACACUUGAAAUCUUAGAUAUGAGAAUGAACAAGUUCAACGGCAGCCUCCCUCAAACAUUUGCAAAAAGUUGUGUUUUGGCAAUUCUUAACCUUAAUGGCAAUCGGUUGGAAGGACCAUUGCCUACAUCUUUGGUUAAUUGUCGAUAUUUGGAAGUUAUAGAUGUUGGGAAUAACAACUUGAGCGGCUCAAUUCCAGAAUGUCUUGGAAACUCAACAGGUUUGUCAUUUCUUGAUGUUGGGAAUAACAACUUGAGCGGCCCAAUUCCAGAAUGUCUUGGAAACUCAACACGUUUGCGAUUUCUUGAUGUUGGGAAUAACAGCUUGAGCGGCCCAAUUCCAGAAUGUCUUGGAAACUCAACACUUGAAGUCUUGGAUAUGAGAAUGAACAAGUUCAACGGCAGCCUCCCUCAAACAUUUGGAAAAAGUUGUGUUUUGGAAAGUCUUAAACUUAAUGGAAAUCGGUUGGAAGGACCAUUGCCUCCAUCUUGGGUUAAUUGUCGACAUUUGGAAGUUAUAGAUGUUGGGAACAAUCAGAUUAAUGGUACCUUUCCCCACUGGUUAGACGUUCUUCCCAAAUUGCAAGUUCUUACAUUGCGUUCUAAUAGAUUUGGUGGUCCCAUUGGUGAUACCAAAACAAGAGUUCCCUUCCCCAAGUUGCGAAUAAUUGAUUGCUCUCACAAUCGACUCACCGGUGUUUUGCCACUACGGUAUUUGGAUAGUUUUAAAGCCAUGAGGCCUGGGAAAAACAAUAGUGUUGAAGUCAAUUAUAUGAGGUUGCCAGAUUCUUCUAAUUACUAUGAGUCAAUAUUUCUGACUAUGAAAGGCAUUGACUUACAAAUGGAGAGGAUUCUAACAACUUUUGCAACUAUUGAUUUGUCCAGCAAUAGAUUUCAAGGGAAAAUUCCAGAAGUAGUCGGAAUGCUGAAUUCACUCAAAAGUCUCAACAUUUCCCACAACAACCUGACAGGUGGUAUUCCAUCAUCGCUGAGAAAUCUGACAGAGCUUGAAUCUCUAGACCUCUCUUCAAACAAGCUUGCUGGACGUAUCCCAACGCAACUGGCCAGUCUGAAUUAUCUUUCGGUGUUGAAUCUUUCGAACAACCAGCUCAACGGACCCAUACCACUAGGAUCCCAAUUUAAUACAUUUGGAAAUGAUUCCUAUUCUGGUAACUCAGGGUUGUGUGGAUUCCCAUUAUCAGAGAGCUGCAGCAUUGAUGAGGCACCAGAACCAACAACACCAACAAAACCAACAGGAUUUCUCGAAGGAGAUUAUGCUUCAAGCUGGUUUGAUUGGAAGUUUGCUACGUUGGGUUACGUAUCUGGAGUGGUGAUCGGCUUUUCCAUCGGAUACAUGGCAUUUGUGACUGGAAGGCCACAAUGGUUUGUAAGAAUGAUCGAAAGGAAGCAAUCCAGAAAGCUGAGAAGGGUGAUCAGACGAGGCAGAGCAAGUAGAAGAAGUUUGUAGAUGCAUCUCUAAAGGCCCAGGUGAGUAAUUAUUACGUGGGUGCAUUGCUCUUCUUGGAGAAAAUGUAUUAAAUGAAAUCGCACACAUCUGCCAAUGGGCUUGUACAACGUUGACGGCACUCACAUUUGAGGGUUAAAAGUAAUUUUCGAAGAUCUUUUAUUGUAAUAUAUGUAUCUAUAUUUCAAAAGGAAGAAACCACCGUCAUCCAAAUUUAAUUAAGAAAAAUCUGCACUUUUUCAUAUAUCAACUUUUUUUCGUUUUGUAGAAACAAAAAUAAUUAUGCGUAAAAUGAAACCAAACGGCCAUUAAAUUUAGACGGGUUUUCAUAGCUAUGCCAUACCUUAACAGCAGUCCCCACAUACGGCGCGGCCCAUGAUUCCACUUAUAACACGUUCUCAAGAAAAUGGUUUGAAUAAUUAAAAAAACAUUGGCCCAAAAUCUCUAACCUUUUAUGAUCCUUGUUCAAACGGCCCAGUACUUGCCACGUCAACAUGUGCAAACUCAUCCACGUCACCAGCCUCAGCGCUCUCACCACGUCAUCACUCGAUGAUCAUUUGGAUUAAGAAAAACAGUUGAAUUGGGUCUCGUCAGUCGUCACAGAGGCCGAGCACAAAAGACAAAGAGAAACUGAAAUGGCGCGAGCUUUGCUUUAUUUGAAUCGCACGGCCACGGCCAUAAUAGUUAUGUUGAUUGAUGUGGUUUGACUUUCGUAUGUUAUUAUUUAAAUCCCCUAAUAUGUUAAAAUUUAAAAAACUGUAAAACUUGUUUAAAGUACCAUAAAUAUAAAAAUUACUCUACUCAACAUCUCAACCAUAAAUUAUAUAAAUAACUAAAUAUAAAUACAAAGUUAAAAACCAUGUCUCAUUCCUUUAAAAAACACACAAUUUUAUUCCACAAUCUAAGCAAAGAGUUCAUCAAUUUAACAAAUAAAAUAAAAACACACAACUCAAUACCACAAUUUAGACCAGGAGUUCAUUAGUUCAUUGGUUUAACAAAGAGUUCAUCAAUUUUUUUUUUUAAAUUGUUAAAUGAGAGAGUUGGGUCACAUAAAGCCCGAACCCUGACCCAAAUUUAAUUAAACUUUUAUUUUUUAAGCUUGAGUUCGAUUUUUGACCCUUAAAUUCGGGUCAAAGCCCUAAAAAUUCGAGUCUAGCCAAUCCGGUCAAAAAUCGGGUCGGGCUUUUUUGCCAUCUUUAUCCAAGACAUUGUGGAAUUGGGCUGCUGAAGUUGUUAUUCCUGAAAUUAAUAAACAUCAAACCAAUACAAUUAACUAAAUAUGGUGACAAUGAUCCUUCUAGGUGAUUGUCAUUCAGCGUAAGAGCUUUAUGGGAGGUUAAUUUCAGUACUCCCUCAAUUAUCAAUAUAAUUGAGUAGAGAUUGUCUCUCCCUUACGAAAUGUGAGUGGAGUAGGCACCCUUGAAUAUUAGAGAGAGUUAAAAAUAUAUGAACAAGUGCUUCAGUGUGUCAAUGUAUGGUGAUGGUCUCAGUUAUAUAAUAUGAUUGUAAAUAUUAAUUGUAAUGUCUGAUAUAAUGUCAGUAACAUCUGUAUAUAACAGACUUAAAAAAAAAAAAAUAGACCCAGUACAUUGAUUAACUCAUUUCAAUGGCUCAAAUCCAUGCCAUUUAGGUUAGUAGACCUAAUACCUUGAUUACUGCAUCAUUAGGUAACAAUAUUACACAACUUGCUUAUUUGGAUCUCUCAUCUAACAGUUUUAGUGGUCACAUUCCAUCAUCUUUUUCAAAUCUUCAGCAGCUUCUUCAUUUAAAUCUUCAAUACAAUAACUUUGUUGGUAAAAUUCCGGAUAUGUUUACCAACCUAACCCAACUUUCUUUUUUAAACUUUGCAUAUAAUGAACUGAUAGGCUCGAUUCCAAGUUCAAUCUUUGAACUUUUGAAUUUGACUGAGAUCUAUCUUUCUUUUAACAAUUUCAGUGGCAGCGUUGAGCUUUACGAUUUUGCAAAGCUCAAAAAUCUUAAAGUUCUUUCUCUUUCUAAUAUUAGUUUAUCAGUGAGCACCAAAUUAACAGUCAACUCGUCUUUCCCUAAUCUUUCGGAUUUGGAUUUAUCGGCUUGCAAUAUAAGUGAGUUUCCAGACAUCUUGAGAACUCAACAUCAUUUAGAGUCGUUGGACCUUUACCAAAACUUCCUGACAAGCACAGACCAUCUUCCGUGGAAAAAUCUCCAAAAUCUUUACCUUGAUUCCAACUUACUUCAAGGAUCACUUCCCGAUCUACCACCUCACAUGAUUUACUUUUCAAUUUCCAACAAUAAUUUGACCGGAGAGAUUCCUUCAUCAUUUUGUAAUUUGAAUUCCAUUCAAUCUUUUGACGUAUCCAACAAUAGCUUGAGUGGACAAAUUCCACAGUGCCUUGGAAACUCUACACUCCAUACUUUGGAUCUCGGAAUGAACAACUUCCAAGGUAGCAUCCCACAGACAUAUGCAAAGGGCUGCAACUUGACUUAUCUUCGGCUGAAUGGCAAUCACUUGGAGGGACCAUUACCACCAUCUUUGAUUAACUGUGUCGAUUUGCGAUUUCUUGAUGUUGGGAAUAACAGCUUGAGCGGCCCAUUUCCAGAAUAUCUUGGAAACUCAACACUUGAAGUCUUGGUUAUGAGAAUGAAUAAGUUCAACGGCAGCCUCCCUCAAACAUUUGGAAAAAGUUGUGUUUUGGAAAGUCUUAAACUUAAUGGCAAUCGGUUGGAAGGACCAUUGCCUCCAUCUUUGGUUAAUUGUCAGUAUUUGGAAGUUUUAGAUGUUGGGAAUAAUCAGAUUAAUGAGACCUUUCCCCACUGGUUAGACGUUCUUCCCGAAUUGCAAGUACUUACAUUGCGUUCUAAUAGAUUUCGUGGUCCCAUUGAUGAUACCAAAACAAGAGUUCCUUUCCCCAAGUUGUGAAUAAUUGAUCUCUCUUACAAUCGAUUCACCGGUGUUUUGCCAAUAUGGUAUCUGAAUGGUUUUAAAGCCAUGAUGCACGGGGAUGACAAUAGUAUUGAAGUCAAUUAUAUGAGUUCGUUGAAUUAUUCUUAUUAUGAAUCAAUAUCUUUGACUAUGAAAGGCAAUGACAUACAAAUGGAGAGGAUUUUAACCACUUUUGUAACUAUUGAUUUGUCGAGCAACAGAUUUCAAGGGGAAAUAUCAGAAGUGUUGGGAAAGCUUAAUUCACUCAAAAGUCUCAACAUUUCUCACAACAACCUGACAGGUGGUAUUCCAUUGUCGCUAAGAAAUCUGACAGAGCUUGAAUCUCUAGACCUCUCUUCAAACAAGCUUGCUGGACGUAUCCCAACACAACUGGCGAGUCUCAAUUAUCUUUCGGUGUUGAAUCUUUCGAACAACCAGCUCGAGGGACCCAUACCAGGAGGACCCCAGUUUAAUACAUUUGGAAAUUAUUCCUAUUCUGGUAACUCGGGUCUGUGUGGAUUCCCAUUAUCAAAAAGCUGCAGCAUUGAUGAGGCACCAGAGCCAACAACACCAACAGGAUUUAUUGAAGGAGACGAGGCUUCAAGCUGGUUUGAUUGGAAGCUCGCUAAGUUGGGCUAUGCAUCUGGAGUGGUGAUCGGCUUGUCCAUCGGAUACAUGGCAUUUGUGACUGGAAGGCCACAAUGGUUUAUAAGAAUGAUCGAAAGGAAGCAAUCCAGGAAGCUGAGAAGGGUGAUCAGACGAGGCAGAGCAAGUAGAAGAAGUUUGUAGAUGCAUCUCUAAAGGCCUAGGUGAGUAAUUAUUAGUUUUGUCUUUUGGAAUUAUAAGCUGGUUUCUACUGUUCUUUAAGUAGAUAGCAUGUCGAUAUUAUCGUAAUCUAACAGUUGACUUGCAAAAAUCACAAUCAUAAUUAAUUUUAAAUUAUGUUUAUUAUCAACAUCUAUAGUGAGAAACAAACUGAGGAUAAUGUAUAAGAAAGAAAAUUUUAACUGAAUUAUUGAUGCGACUGUUUUUACUUUUAUUGCCAUUUCAUUAGAACAUGUCGUCACGGACGUACAUUUUGAUGGUAAAAUGAUUUGAAGUAAUAUUGUUGCAGGAAAUUGUGUGGCGAUAACGUAUUUCAAAGUUUGUGAGCAGAAAACAUUCUUUGCCUUUGGCUCAGUGAUAUCAAUUUAAAAACUCAGUGCUUAAUUAAUAACUCUAAGUUUAUUUUAAAGAAAUUUUCGUAGAUCUUUUAUUGUAAUAUAUGUAACUGUAUUUCAAAAGGAACAAAUCACCCUUGUCCAAAUUUAAUUAAGAAAAAUCUGCACUUUUUCAUAUAUCAACAUUUUUCAUUUUGUUGAAACAAAAAUAAUUAUGCGCAAAAUGAAACCAAAUGGCCAUUAAAUUUAGAGGGGUUUUCAUAGCACUGCCAUACUUAACGGCAGUCCCCACGUACGGUGCGGCCCAUGAUUCCACAUAUAACACGUUCUCAAGAUUAGGAUCCUGUUUACUCCUCAAGCUUCCAACAUUCUCCAUGGAUCUUCCCAUGCAAGGAUUUCCACUCAUCAAUUAGCAAAAAAUUCAUAGUAAAUUUGAGGAUGAGUGAUAAUGUUUCAUUCUCAUUUCCCAUUCCAUGAAAUAAACACACCCUUAGUAACAAGACUUGGUACUGUAAGUCUAAAAGUAUUAUAUUUGUUAUUACUAUUUUUUUUAAAAGUGUUGUAUCUAAUUAGAUUCCCCUGUUUUGGUGUGAGUUAAAGAGAUGGCUACGAUAAGUUUUUUAUUCUUGUAAGGAGGACUUGAAUAAAGUGCUCAUUAUUAAUGGCUUUGAGAAAGAAAGACUUGUCCUAUAUAUCCCUCUUAAUUUGAACAAUCUUUCAUCAGCAACUUCAAACCUUUUUUAUCCUUGCCAUGGGUUUCAUAGCCGUGGAAAAGAAAUUAAAGCAGUUUCGAAUUUUAUUUAAAUUGGCCACAAAUUCAUGCAACUUUCAACCUUUUUUAUGCUUUCCAUUGGUUUCAUAGCGUGGAAAAGAAGUUGAAAUAGUUUGAAAUUUUUUUAAGUUGGCCUCAAACUCAUGACCUACUAGAUCCCAAACAAUAUCAUGAGGCUCUCAAUAACAAGACCUGGAGCGCGCUCUAAGUAUAAAUGAACUAUAAUUAAUUAAGACUAUUCCGUCUUAAUUUCAAAAGGUAGUAUGGAUCAAGCUUUUGAAAUUGAUAUUACACAUAUUAAUUUGUAGUUUGACUAAUUAAGAAGUAAAUGGAAGGUCUAACAACUUGCUUACUGAAACAGAGUCAAAACAGGGGAGGAAAAAUUAAUUUUUUUUUUAAAUGACUAUCAAUGAUCUAGCUCGCUGUUACAUCAGCAUAUAUGACAAAUAACUUACAUCUCACUAAACUAUCUUUUUACAUGAACAAAUUACUAUCAAAAUGGUUACUAAUUGGAUACAGCUUCUGCUUUAGUCUGGUUUGUGGAAAUUGAAAAAUUGAAAAAUGCUCCUUUUGAAGAAUCAAAGUCUACUUUAUAUGUAAAUAAAGGGGAUGAUCAAUAAAGAUAGCCCAUCACUGUUCAAUUACUUUCGAGCAUGUCGAUUGUUUCAUGAAGAGAAACUUCGAUUGCCUCUAAGGGUCUAGUCAAGUGAUUUAUAAGUAAUUUUAUUUGAUUAAUCACUUGAAUUCGAAUUUAAUAAAUAUGAGAGAAUAAUAUUUUAAUUGAAAUCCCCUCAUCCAAAUUUUGUUUUUUUUUUUCUAAAAAGAAAUUAGCACUUUGCCAUGUAUGAGUAAAAAUUUUCAUUUUGUGGAAACAAAAAUAAUUAAUUUUGUGCAAAACGGAACCAAACUGCUGUUAAACUUAAAAUCAGUCUCAACGGUAAUGGCCAUCAUUCCCCGUCAAACACGUCGUCAAAUUCCAAAGCAAGACUUGGUACUCUAACCAAUAAGCAUUAUGUUAUUAAUUAAUUACACACCAUUCAACUUGAAUAAAUUGUCAUAUCUCUCUUCUUGCGAUUUCAUUAACCGGCGAAGGGAGAAAAAAAAAUGGGUUAUUUGACUCAGCCUUAUCAACUUGUGAUUUGCCUCCAGUUAUUGCUCUUGUAUUCUCAGUGUUCAGCAAUAAUUUGGCUAAUUGUACCAGUUUAAUGUUUAUGGAUGUUGGGAAUAACAACUUGAGCAGCCCAAUUCGACAACUUCUUAUAAACUCAAUACUUUUUAGGGUCUUGGAUAUGAGAAUGAACGGAUUUCAGGCAGCAUCCCUCAAAUGUUUGCAAAGAGUUGUGAUUUGAGAAGUCUUAUACUUAAUGGCAAUCAAUUAGAAGGACCAUUGUCUCCAUCUUUGAUUAACAGUCAAAUUUGAAAAUUUUUGAUAUUGGGAAUAAUCAUGUUAAUAAUACAUUUCCUCAUUGGUUAGAAAUUCUUCAUGAAUUGAAAGUGUUUAUAUUACGAUCUAACCAAUUUCGGAUCCAAUUGGUGAUAGCAAAAUAAGAGAAAAGGGAACUCUUGUUUUGGUACCCCGAAAUCGUUAGAUCGUAAUAUAAGCACUUGCAAUUGAUAAAGAAUUUCUCAUCAAAAAUAAAAGUAUCAUUAACAUAAUUAUUCCCAAAAUCAAAAACUUCCAAUUGCUGACAGUUAACCAAAGAUGAAGGCAAUGAUCCUUCCAAUUGAUUACCAUUAAUUUAAGACUUAUCAAAUCACAUCUGUUUGUAAACAUUUGAGGGAUGCGGCCAUUGAAUUUGUUCAUUAUCAUAUUCAAGAUCUUAAUAAGUAUUGAGUUUCCAAGACAUUGUGGAAUUGGGCUGCUCAAGUUGUUAUUUCCAAAAUUAAUAAACAUCAAACCGAUACAAUUAACCAAAUAUGGUGGCAAUGGUCCCUCCAGGUGAUUGUUAUUCAGCUAAGCAUACAAAUUGUAGCCUUUUUCGCAUAUGUUUGUGGGAUUCUACCAUGAAGAUUGUUCAUUCUAACAUCUAAAUAUCCCAGUGUAAAAUUUCGAAGACACUGUGGAAUUUUUCCCAUUGAAGAUAUUAUUGGACAUAGAUAUGGCAAAUGGGUCGUGUUGUAUGUGCGAGUAUGUUUUAGUAGGGUAUGUGGCAUGGUGUGCACACAAACAAAUUGAAUUGGACUGAGAAUUUUAAGCACAUGUUCCUUAAAAUCACGUCCUUCUCUAUAUGCAACAAUGGGAAAUAUCAAAUAAUCCUGACUCAAUUAAUUGCAGCAAUAAUGAUGUGGGAGACGAUAGGGGCUUAAUUUGGGUGUACAUCUUCUAUUUUGUAAGUUGAAUUUGAAUGUGUAAUAUAAUUGUUCUGAAACUCACAAUAAGAUAAUUGAUUGGGUGUAAAAAGAAAAUGGAUUGAAUAAUUGAAGUAACUUAGGUCCAAAAUCUCUGAACUUAUAUGAUCCUUGUUCAAAUGGCCCAGUGCGUGCCACGUCAACAUGUGAAACUCAUCCACAUCACCAGCCUCAAUAUUCUCGCGACGUCAUCACUCAACAGGUUCCCACUGACGAUAAUUUGGAUAAGAAAAACUUUUGAAUUAAUAGCCUUCACUCUUCACAGAGAAACCAAAAUGGCGCGAGCUUUGCUUCAUUUGAAUAGCACGGCCACGGCCAUACUGGUCAGGGCUACAAGUGGUACUACAGAGGCAGUUCUUGACAGAGCUCAGUUUCAAAUGAAGAACCAAAACGCCCGCGUUUUGAUACUUCGAGGUACGGGUCGGGUCGGUGGAUCCACUGCCGUUGCUCUCUCGAAGCUCUGCCCCGACCUUCAGAUUGUUGUUGGCUCUCGAAAGAGGUGAAAUCAUUAAUACCCAUUUUAUUUCUUCUGUUUCGUUUCCGCAAAAAUGCAAGAAAUAAAGGAGGGAAAUUUUUCGAGCUUUGUUAUUUUCUGUUAUUUUUACGUUUACUAUGUUUCUUUGGUAAUUUUAAAAUUUAAAUUCAAGGUGAUGUCUAAUGGUAAACUGCAAUGCUUUUACAUCUUUCUUAAAGCACAUUCCUAAACAGUCACUCAACUACAAGUGAUUAUCAUGUCCCGCAGUUGUAGAUUAAGGCUCAAUUUGGUAGUGCCAUUGUGCGGUCGUAGCAUUUCAAGACACGUCUAAUUUUAAAUGAGAGCUGCUGUGAAAUGAGAGCUUUAGUUAUGAAAUAUAUGUUUAUAGUGUUUGGUAAAUGUUACUUUUUAAUAAUAAUUUUGAGAAAAAUAGUAAACCUAAUAUAAGUCAGGCAAUUGUGGGUAAAAUCGCUUUAAUUUUCAAAUUGUAGUUGCGAGUGUUUACCAAAUACUUUAGAAUUGUGAUUAGAUGGCAAUAAAAAAAGAGAACCUAAACAGUCCAUAAUAAUAUUGCCAAUGAUGCAAAACUUGCAAUUCUUUCUCUUUUUGGUUUUCCUAAACACUCGAAAGGCAAUAAUGUCUGUUUUUGUUGAUUGAUAUGCUCUGACUACGGUAUGUUAUUGUUUUAGAAUGUUGUCAAACAUGCUAGUUCUUGGAUGGAACUAUGGAGACAUGGAGUUGUGAAUUCAAAUAGCUAUGGCUGGAAUGUUUCCUAAUUUAGAGUGUUGCUGAGAAAAUUUUGCAUACCAGCAGGGAAAGGUGCUGCAACGGUGGCUACACUUGCAAAGAAUUCUGAAUUUGCUGAAGUUAAUUCUGACAAUGAAGGUUCACUGUUAAUGGCUUUUAGAGGUGCGAUCGUUCGUCUCAGACUAGAUAUGUAUUCUGUUGUUCCACAUCAAUAAUUCUUUUUCAUCCAGAUUUUUCUUUUUUAGUCUGGAGUUGAAGUAGAGGAAUUUUUUAGAAGCAGAAAUUCCGUUAUUAGACAAUAUUUUAAUGAUGCUUUAUUCUGUAUGUGAAAUGCUGUAACUUUGCUUCUGCUGAUGUGGAUCUUGUGGUUCAUGCAGCAGGGCCUUUUCAACAGGCACCGAAAUGCACUGUAAUGGAAGCUGCCAUAGAGACCAAGGUAAGGAAAGGUAAAUGUUGUGUUUGAUUAUCUCUUUUCCAAGUCCAGUUUUUAUGUUUUAUAUAUGUGAUGAUUGAAGCAUGUAUACAACUUUGCUAUGUAACCGAGAUGUCAUCUUAUGUGUUCUUUUUUGUCUCCCAGCAGACAGCAUACAUUGAUGUUUGUGACGAUACAAGCCACUCUCGGCCUGCUAAGUCCUUCAAGGAUAAAGCAAUAGCUGCAAACAUUCCAGCCAUAACUUCAGGAGGAAUCUAUACAGUAGUGAGCAAUGGUGCUUUUAUGAACAUUCUUGUCCUGCAAUCUGUACUAGAAGUGCAGAAAAUUAAAUAUAUGAUUGAGUGAAGAAUAUGGAUAGAGCACAAAUUCUAUAAUUGAAACAUGUACAGUCUGCAAAUUCUUGCUUUAGAGCCAAAACAUCAUUGUUGGUGAUGCUUGGAUACAUGAUUUUUGCCACUGGAAGACCAUAGUGUUUUGUAUGGGAUGAUUGAAUGGAAGCAUCUGCUGCUCCAAGCUAUUAGUUUGUCUUAAUGUUGAUUGCCCGCUGAUUUUUAUAUAUUCUGAACUGCUAUUUGAAUUGUAUAUUAAUGUGAUGUGUUCUUUCUACAGUAAUUUUAGACUCAUGGAAGGUAGCAUUGGAAGCGAAGCAAUCCUCCUGGUGCAAAACUUGCCUUGCUUUAUUUCCGUAUCUUUAGAAUAUUUUACCACUUAUAUUUUAUUGGUAAUUAAAUUUAUAAAAAAUUUGAGGGGAAAAAUGACUUGAAAAUUAUUGAUGUAGGAAAUGGCCUAGGCUAACUUUGAUUUAGUGCAUCUUUGGGCUAUGAAUGUUGAAUUUGGGCGUAUGUUAUAUUGCUUGGAAGCCUGUAACAAGACGAACAACAUUCAUUGUCAUUGUCCUUGUUGCCCAUGAGAUUAUUGCCAAAUUUCAAUGUUUUGGGACUGAAUAUCGCAUUUCCCCUAAGCAAUAAUUUAUGAAAUGACCUUGCACUUGUUUAAAUUGUAUGUAGCCUGUUUAUUAUCUCUCUUUGAAAAUAUUUUUAUUGAGUGUUUUGAUAUUGAGAGAUCUAGAUGCGAUGGGCCACAUGUCACCUGAUUAUAGAUUGAUGUUUAAUAACUUGGCCAAUUAUCAAGUAAAACAUGGCCUAUCAUGCACAAUAACGUGCACGAUGAUGCGCAUCUGAUCAUUCUUUUUGGAUAUCAAUUGAUCUAAGCCUACAAGUUCAGCGUAUAGAUUACACAUAUUUACAGUAGACUACAAAGUGAAUGGAAGGUAAGGAUGGCAAAAAUCCCCACGGGGACGGGGACCCUUGGGGAUUUUUCCUAUUCGGGGAGGGUAUGGGGAUAAUUUUAUACCCAAUUUCUUCUUGGGGAAGGGAUGGGGGUGAUUUUUUACCCAGAUUUUUAUUCGGGGAAGGGACGGGGAUGAGGUGGAAUCCCCAUCCCCUACCCAUUUCCCCAUUUCCUCAUAUUAAUUUUUAUUUUGAUUUUAUUUUUUAGAAUUAUUAAUAAAUGAAAAAUCAAAUUUAAAUUAUAAAAUGUUAAAUAUUAGUAUAAAUAACAAAUAUCAAAAUAUUUAUACGCAUCUACUAUAAAAAUUUCAAGCUUGGUUAAUUAGUUAUAGUCCUAAAUUAUUAUUUGACCAUACCUUAUUUCAAAUGUCUUGGCCCAAAACUAUUUUAAAUUAUGAAUUAUAUUGCUUAUAUUAUUUUUAUUGUUUUAGAUUUGAAACUUGAUGUUAUCUCUCAAUUUCCAACAUUCCUCGAGGAAGAAUAGGAUGAGUAUGAGACACAAGAGUAAAUGCUUUUUUUUUUAAAUAUUAAUUUUAGUAUCUAUACCCAUUUCAUUUAUUUCAUUAUUGAUAUAAGAGUAAUUUCUUUUUAUUAUAAAAUUAUGAAGGUCGAGGAAGAUAAUUAUUCUAAUUAUUUGUAUUAUGUUGUGUAAUUUUUGUAAUGAAUUAAUGUUAAUCUAAGAUAUAUUGUCAAACCUUACCCUUGUUUAAAUUUUUAUUUUAAUAUGAUUAAAUCAAGUUUAGAAAUAAAAAAUAUAUCAGUUAUUCGGGGAUCGGAGACCCCUCGGGGAUCUCCUCUUAUUAUUCGAGGAGGGGACGGGGAUCCUCUCAAGCAAUUCUGAUGGGGACGGGGAUAUAUGAAAAACAUCGGGGAUGGGUGCGGGGAUGUCGGUCCCCUCCCCUCCCCUCCCCAUUGCCAUCCCUAAUGGAAGGUCUAUUCUAAGUCAACUUGCUUAAUAAACUAAAACAUAAUCAAAACAGAGGAGGGAAAAUGAACAGUGUGUCUAUGAAUGUCUAACUAGACUUUGGACCCUACGGACCUAGUCCACUAACUUUCUAAUAACUUUAUUUGAUUCGCCAUUUGAUCACAAGGGAGGUAUGUGUUAUAACAUGUAUAUCGAUACCGUCUAUUCCUCUACCUUCUAUAAAACAAAAAUAAUAAUAAGUAGAGUUUAGGUGGAGCCACAUCACCAUAUACGACAGACAAUUAACAUUUCUCUUAUCUACAUAUCGUUUCAGCUCUAAUUUGGACUGGUUGGUGGAAAUUGGAAAAACUGGAAAAUGCUGCUUUCGAAUAAUCAAAGUCUACUAUAGACGCCAAGCAAGGAAACGCGUAAAAUACAAACAUCGUCUAUCAAUGUUUAUGCUUAAUGUAACAUUGCGUGUUGGCUGUAUUAAUAGAAAUCCUCCUCAUUUGCCAAUAGGCUCGUAGCCCGUUAACAUCACUCAUGCUCUCAAAUCUUGAGAGCAAUUAAUUCGUGGGACUCACUUUUUUCUGUCAAUGUAAAUAGAGCAUAUAUCCCUAAAAAAAUUACGAAAUUAUCCAUCCGACUUUCAAAUUUACGAAAUUACUCAUUGCCCUUGACUAUACAUCCGACUUUUACGAAAUUAUACCAUUUCAGGACCCAAAAUUGCAUUUGAAUUUAUUUUAAACUAUAGACCUUGAGAAACUUCUAAGAAUUGGAGUUUUCCAUGUAAAUCUUGUGUUGUGUGAUUGAUGAACUCUCUAUUUAAUUUUUCUGUUAAUUUGUUGUUUGACAAAUUGCAUGGAGUGAUCUUAGAGGGAAGCUCAAUUUCCUAACAGAAUCUAACUUAGGGAGGGGAAAAAAUGCGAGUCUAGCUGGCUGUUACAUCUCUUUUCACAUACAUAAAUAAAUAUCAACAUUGUUAUUAAUUAGAUACAGCUUCAGCUUUGGUACUGGUUUCUGAAAAUUGGAAAAACUGGAAAAAUGCUCCUUUUGAAGAAUCAAAGUCCACUUUAAAUAAUAAUCCCCAUCAAUAUUUAAUGCUUGUUAUUGACUCUCAACCAGCGGCUGCUUUCAGAAAGAAAGACUUCAAUUGUCCCCAAGGGUCGAAAAGUAUUACAUGACUGAUUAGGUUUCCCCCUUUACUUCCACUUCAUGGUAAUUUCUCUUCCUGUGAUUUCAUCAGGGAGAAAAAAAGGAAAAAAAAGAAAAGAAAAGAAAAUGGGUUAUAUCACUCAGCCUCAUCAACUUUUGAUUUGCCUCCAGUUAUUGUUCUUGUAUUAACGAGUUUAUAUAUCAUUCAAUUAACUAAACACACUUUGGAGAACAUACAACUGAAAUCAUUUUCACACAAUGACCUAGCAAAAAGCUACUAUUCAGCAUAGAGAUUACACACAUAUAUGGCAAACAAUUAAGAGUAAAUGGAAGGUCUAACAACUAAUUGGAAUUUUACAAAACUAGCGACAAAUGCACCAAUAAAUUAGACUCCAGAACAAGAUUAUGAGGCAAAAAGUAGAAAAGUUAGGAAAAUGCUGUUGUGUGAUGGAAUCAUGUUUCAUGACCUCAUUUGUGGGUAAUAAUCCAAUUAGAAAAGAUAGAGAUAAUAGGAAAGUUAGGAAAGUUAGAGAUAAUAGGUAAUAAUCCAAUUAGAAAAGAUAAUUAAAAAUAUAUAAAUUGGAAAUAAUUAAUCCAGACAAAACAAUAAAAACACAAGACAUAGCUUAUAAUUUAGAAGAUAGAAAUGAAGACUUGGUGCUUGGACUCUAAAUGUGUUCUAUUUAAUUAGAUUCCUCUCUAGUGCUGUGAGUAAAAGAGAUGGAUAGAAAAAGUUAUUUUAACUUAUAAGGUGGACUUGACUAAAGUGUUCAUUAAUGACAUGACGUUGAGAAGGAAAGACUUAUUCUCUACAUACCUCUUAAUUUGGGCAAUCGUAUAUCAAUAAUUUUCAAUUUUUUUGAUUCAUCCCAUGGGUUUCAUUAUCAUAGCCGUGGAAAAAAAUUGGCCACAAAUUCAUGCAUCGACUAGAUUCCAAAACAAUAUCAGGAGGCUUAGUAUAACAAAGGACUUGGUGCAUGCUCUAAAAGUCCAAAUGAAUUAUAACUAAUUAGAUUAUUUCAUCAUCAAAUCAAGACUUGGGACAAUAGAAGUAAAUAUCUAAAUGGUUAUUAAUUGGAUACAACUUCAGCUUUUGAACUGGUUUGUGGAAAUUGAAAAAAUUUGAAAAGUUUUCCUCUAGAAGAAUCAAAGUCUACUUUAUACGUGGAGAAAGGGGAUGUCAGUAAAGAUAAUCCAUCAAUGUUCAGUUACAUUCGAGCGUGUUGACUACUUUCAGGAUGAAAGACUUCUAUUGUCCCAAGGAGUUUAAUCCACUGACUAACAUGAGAUUCCAAAUCAAGACUUGGUUCCCUAAAGUCAAUAAGUAUCGAGAGGUCCACACGCAUUUCAGUGGCAACCUUCCUCAAACGUUUGCAAAAAGUUGUGUUUUGACAAGUCUUAACCUUAAUUGCAAUCGUUUGGAAGGACCGAUGCCUCCAUCUUUGGUUAACUGUCGGCAUUAUAAGCUGGUUUAUGUAUUGUUCAUGGAGUAGAUAACCAACUGAUAUGUUUCAUAUUCUAACUGUUGAUUUACAAAAAUCACAGCACUGAUUAAAUUCAAAUUAUGCUAUAAUCAGCAUCUAUAGUCUAUAGAGAGAAAGAAAAUGAGGGUCAUAUAUAAGAAAUCACUGAUAGGAUGUGUUUUGCUUUCAUUUCCAUUGCAUAAGAACAUGAUACCACACACUUACAUUUUGAUGGUUAACUUGAUCAAAUUUUUCAGGAAAAAAAAUUAUUUUAAAAAUAAUUUUGAUGUAGGAAAUGAUUUGGGAUGACAUUCAUUUGGUGCCAUUUAGGCCACAUUUUUUCAAUUGGGCGUAUGGUAUAUACUAUUUCAAAGCUGGUAACAAGAUGAACAAUGUUGCCCAUUUGCCUUGACUCUGACGUCCGGGGGCUUUUACAAAAUUGUACCCUUUCAGGACUCUAAAUCGCAUUUGAAGUUAGUUCAGAUUCCAGCACUUCGGGAAACUUCUAAGAUUUGUACUUUACUACUUUUAUUUUCAUAACCAAUACUUAUGUUACUUCGGUCCGUUUGUAUUUUUAAUUAAUUUCAGUUUAAACCUUAACCUUCUCCCAAUUUGUUUUCGGCUUAGCAGAGCAUAUUAACAGCCUAAAUAGGCGAAAUAAUAUAUCAUUCAAUUAACUAAAACACUUAUUUGGCGAACAUUCAACUGAAAGAAUUUUCAACAAUAUUAGCAACUAGUUUUUUAACUUCUCGGAGAGGAAGUUGCUGCUUUCAAUAAAUUAAAGAUAGUCAAUUCACAGGCUGCUUAUUUGAAUCGGUAAACUAAGAUACGUAUUAUGCCUAACCAUUACAAACAUAGUCUAUCAAUGUUUUGGCUGUAUUAAUAGAAAUCCUCCGCACUCAUGCUCUCAAAUCUUGAGAGCAAUUAAUUCGUGGGACUCACAUUUUUCUGUCAAUAUAAUUAGAUAUGGGUAGAUUUUUUCUACUAAUAUAAAUAGAACAUGUAUCCCUAACAAAUUUACGAAAUUAUCCAUCUGACUUUUAGGAAAUUAUACCAUUUCAGGACCCAAAAUUUCAUUUGAAUUUAUUUUAAAUUACAGUCCUGAGGAAACUUCUAAGAUUUGUACUUUUAUUUUCAUAACAAAAUCUUAAACUACUUCCGUUUGUUGCGUUUUUAAUUAAUUUCAGUUUACACCUUAAACUUCUCUGAUUUUUUUUUCAGCUUAGGAGAGCAUAUUAACGCCUACGUAAAAGAAGCUAUGUACCAUUAUAAAUAGAGUAAUAUAAGUACAAAAUUAAUUCAAACUAGAGAAAAAUAUCACAUAUUUAUAGAGCCUUACUGUAGAAAGCUCAAUGUUGAGUUAGGAAAAGGGUUUAAGAUCUAUAUUGAGUAUUGAUCAAGCAAUUUCAGCAUAGAGAUUACACACAUAAAUAGUAAACAAUUAAGAGUAAAUGGAAGGUCUAGCAACUAAUUGGAAUUUUACAAAAUUAGCGACAAAUGCACCAAUAAACUAGACUCCAGAACAAGAUUACGAGGAAAAAAGUAGAAAGUUAGAAAAAUUAGAGAUAAUAGGUAAUAAUCCAAAUAGAAAAGAUAAUAAAGAAGUAUAUAAAUUAAAAAUAAUUAACCCAAAUAUAACAAAAAAAAACACAAAAUUUAGUUUAUAGUUUAGAAGACUUGGUGCUCUGACUCUAAAGGUGUUCUAUUUAAUUAGAUUCCCCUCUAGUGGUGUGAUUAAAAGAGAUGGAUAGAAAAGGUUAUUUUAACUUAUGAGGUGCACUUGACUGAAGUGUUCAUUAAUGACAUGACGUUGAGAAAGAAAGACUUAUUCUCUACAUACCUCUUAAUUUGGGCAAUGCUACAUCAGUAACUUUCAACUUUUUUUAUUCUUCCCAUGGAUUUCAUUAUCAUGGCUGUGGAAAAAAAGUUGAAGUUGUUUGGAGUUUUGCAAAAUUAGGCAUAAAUUCAUGGAUCAACUAGAUUCCAAAACAAUAUCAUCAGGCUCAGUAUAACAAAGGACUUGGUGCAUGCUCUAAGUCCAAAUGAAUUAUAAUUAAUUAGAUUAUUUCAUCCUCAAUUUUAAACGUUAGUAUUGAUCAAUCUUAUAAGUAGAUUACACAUAUUAACUUGCAGUAAACUAAUUAAGAAGUAAAUGGAUGGUCGAACAACCUGCUUAACAAAUCGAAACAGAGGAGGGAAAAAUAUGAGUCUAGCUGGCUGUUACAUCUCUUUUUACAUAAAUAAAUAAAUAUCAAAAUUAUUAUUAAUUGGAUGCAGCUUCAGCUUUGGUACUGGUUUGUGAAAAUUGGAAAAACUGGAAAAUGCUCCUUUUGAAGAACCAAAGUCUACUUUAAAUAAUAAUCCCCAUCAAUAUUUAAUGCUUGUUAUUGACUUUAAACCAGCGGCCGCUUUCAGAAAGAAAGACUUCAAUCGAAAAGUAAAUAGAUUCCCUCCUUUACUUCCACUUCAUGAGUUACAACUAACCAUUUCACUUCGAUAUAUGGUAAUUUCUCUUCUUGUGAUUUCAUCAGGAGAAAAAAAGGAAAAAAAAAAAAAGAAAAUGGGAUAUAUCGCUCAGCCUUAUCAACUCUUGAUUUGCCUCCAGUUAUUAUUCUUGUAUUAACGAGGUUGUAUAUCAUGCAAUUAACUAAGCACGUUUUGGAGAACAUACAACUGAAAUCAUUUUCAUAUCACAAUGUUGAUCUCUGGGCUAAUCAAGCAUUUACCUUUCCUAAUACAAUUUAUCACAAAACGAUUAUCCAUUUUCAUAUUUGAGGUUCAGUAGUAAGAAGGAGCAGGCACCUUCCAAAUGUAUGCACCUUUUUUAGUUUUAUCCCACAAAACUUUAUCACAAAACAAUGGCCUUUUCAUAUUUUCAGUUACUGCUCAAUCCCUUUACAAAAAAAGUAUGCACAUUUACAAGGGAUAGAAGAUUUUAGUUUGACUUUGAUAUGACCACAAUACUAUUGAAAUUACAAACUUUAUAAGUUCACAAAAUAAAUAUUGUAAAUUUAAGGGGGCUAGAUCAUAAGCUUUAGAAAUAAGUAGAUUCAAUUUUAGUUUGUACCUUUAUCAGGUAAUCCAAAUUUCCAAUUUUCAAACCAAAAUUUAGUUUUAAUUUUUGAUUAAAUUUCUUUAGAAAAUACUCAACUAAAUACUAUUUAUAGUUAAAUAUUAGUUUGAAUGAAUGAACACUUUCAUAGAUGAUUGUGUAAGCAAUUUAUUUGGUUAAUUAACGGUUGUAAUCUUUGAUAAUGAGAAUAACUAAUUUUAAAAAAUUCUAAUGGUUAGCGUAUUAAAAGUGUGUUUGGAACAUAGCAUUGCAUGGUAUUAUAAUGAUAUUCACAUUAAUUUAUUGCUAACCUAUGUUUGGUAAUUUUAGCAGCUACAUUGUGGGCAUAAAACACUAUUAUUGAAACACUAGGGCCAUUUUUUCAUUUAACUACAAACUUACUUCUAUUGAAACCCAUAAAACAAUUUUUAUAUUAAUUAAUUAUAUCAUGUCUUCAACUAUUAUUAAAUUCUUAUUCAAGUUCAUUAUUUAAGUGGUAAAUGCGUUAUCUAAAUAAUCUUAUGUAAUGUAUUAAACAAAUAAUUUGAGGAACAAAGUUCAUUAUGUCUCCUCUUAUUAGAUGUAUCUUUAAUUUGUUAUUAAAAAAAUCUCUCAUAUUCAAUUAAAAAUAUAAAUUCAGUCACCAAAAGAAAAAAAAAAGUUGUUAGCUUCGCGGCUGAACGGGGCUAAAAAAGAAUGAUUUUCCCGAAUCUGUCCUCUGACCGACCGAUCCACUAUGAUCCUUGUUCAAAUUGGCCCCGUACGUGCCACGUCAACAUGUAAAAACGCGGCCACGUCAUCCGUAAACUGGUUAUCAGUAACGGAUGAUAAUUUGGAUAAGCAAAACAGUUCAAUUGAGUCUCUUCACAAAAAUAGGACCAUAAUUAUAAAGCAAUGGCCCCGUACUACACACGUCAUUAACGAAAGCUCGAAGCAGAGCUCAAUUUCAAAACGCCAGCAUUUUGGUGCAGCCAUUGCUCAAGAGUUUUUUGAUUUUAUAUGCCACAAUACUUGCCUAAUUUCCAAAUAUAUCCCCUCCCUUCCAUUUAUUCACUUAUAUGACAAAUUCACCUGCAUAAAGAUUGAAAUACUCACAUUUGUGAAUUACAAGUUGCACAAUUUUUAUUUUAACUUCAAAAUACUUCAGAAGCACUUGUACACAACAUCGCUCACUUGCACCGCCGAGGCCUGCAGUGAUCAGUUUCGUCGUCGUCAUCAUCAUUGGCUACACUCUAAUUACUAACAUAAGCACACUUCAAUAUCAAGUUCAUUUACCUGUUCUUUACCAUCUCCAAAAUUUUCCUCUGAUUUUUAUUUCACUUUCUCAACUUCAAAAUUCGCCUGCAUAAAGAUUUCUGAUUUGGAAUUGAAAUUGUAGCUCUAUACCUCUUGAACUCUCCCAUGAGUUUCGCGGCUGCGGAAAAUGUAGAAGUACUAGUUUGAAAUUUUAUAAAUUUAUUCAAAAAAACCACAGUCCAAUCGAUUCCAAAACUAGAUUAUAAGGCCAACCAAUAAGACUUGGUGCUCAAAGCCUAAAAGUAUUACAAAGACUUGGUGCCUCCCUUAAAUUCACUUCAUACUUGCACAUCAUUUUUCUUCUACAUUUAGUCAUAUCUGUUCUUGUGAUUUCAUUGAGAAAAAAGAUAAUAUGGACUAUUUAACUCAUCCUUUUCAACUUUUGAUCUGCCUCCGGUUAUUGCUCUAUUAUUUUCAGUUUUCUGCAAAUUAAUUAGCAACAUACCAGUAAUAUACUCUAAUUUGGACACAGCUUGCUUCUUCUAGAUAAUUAAACAUGGAAUUGGACACAGCUUCUGCUGAUUCCUUUUGGACGGGGUUUGUGGAAUAGAAAAAAAUAUUUGUUUGUUCCUUGUAGGAGGGACUUGACUAAAGCGCUCAUUAAUUAUUAAUGUGAUUUGAGAAAGAAAGACUUGUUCUGUGUAUACCUAUUAAUUUGGGCAAUUUUACAUCAGUAACUUUCAACUUUUUGAUCAUUCCAUAUGUUUCAUAACUGUGGAAAAGAAAUUCAAGUAGUUUGGAAUUUUACAAAACAAUACCGUGAGGCUCAGUAUAACAAAAUUAACCCGAUUUGGAGCAUGCUCAAUGUUGAUUUGGGGUAAGGGUUUGAGAUCUAUAUUGAGUAUUGAUCAAGUAAUGAGAUUACGUGCACAUUUGUACUAAACAAUUAAGAGUAAAUGGAAAGUCUAACAAGUAAUUGGAAUUUUACAAAACUGACGACAAAUGCACCAAUAAACUAGACUUCAGAACAAGAUUAUGAGGAAAAAAGUAGAAAAGUUAGAGAUAAUAGGUAAUAAUCCAAUUAGAAAAGAUAAUUAAAAAAUACAUAACUUAGAAAUAAUUAAUUCAGACAUAACAAUAAAAACAGAAGACUUAGCUUAUAAUUUAGAAGAUAUAAAUGAAGACUUGAUUCUUUGACGCUAAAGGUGUUCUAUGUAAUUAGACUCCCUUCUAGUGGUGUGAGUAAAAGAGAUGGAUAGAAAAGUUAUUUUAACUUAUAAGGUGGACUUGACUAAAGUGUUCAAUAAUGACAUGACGUUGAGAAAGAAAGACUUAUUCUAUAUGUAACUCUUAAUUUGGGCAAUCGUUCGUCAAUAACUUUCAACUUUUGAGAUUCCUCCCACGGGUUUCAAUGUUUCAUUAUCUUAGCUGUGGAAAAAAGGUUGAAGUUGUUUGGAGUUUUGCAAAAUUGGCCACAAAUUCAUGCACCAACAAGAUUCCGGAAAAAUAUAAUGAGGCUCAGUAUAACAAAAGGCUUGGUGCAUGCUCUGAAAGUCCAAAUGAAUUAUAAUUAAUUACACAUAUUAAUUUGUAGUAAACUAAUUAAGAAGUAAAUGGAUGGUCUAACAACCUGCUUAACAGAUCGAAACAGAAUCAAAACAGAGGAGGGAAAAUGGAUUGAGUUUGUGUAUAGGACUAAUUAUGGAUUGAGUUUGUGUAAAAGCUACUACAUAUCACAUUGUUGACCUCUGGGCUAAUCAAGCAUUUACCUUUCCUAAUACAAUUUAUCACAAAACGAUUAUCCCUUUUCAUAUUUUAAGUUCAGUAGUAAGAAAACAGUGGCCGUUUCAUAUUUUCAGUUAUUGCUCAAUCCCUUUACAAAAAACUAUGUACAUUUACAAGGGAUGGAAGAUUUUGGUUUGACUUUGAUAUGACCAUAAAUACUAUUGAAAUUACAAACUUUAGAGGUUCACGAAAUAAAUAUUGUAAAUUUAAGGGGGCUAAAUCAUAAGCUUUACAAAUAAGUCGAUUCAAUUUUAGUUUGUACCUUUAUCAGGUAAUCCAAUUUUCCAAUUUUCAAACCAAAAUUUAGUUUUUAAUUUUUUGAUUAAAUUUCUUUAGAAAAUACUCAACUAAAUACUGUUUAUAGUUAAGUAUUAAUUUGAAUGAACAUCAUAUAUGAUUGUGUAAGCAAUUUAUUUGGUUAAUUAAUGGUUGUAAUCUUUAAAAAUGAGAAUUACUAAUUUUAAAAAAUUCCAAUGGUUACUGUAUUAAAAGUAUGUUUGGAACAUAGGAAUGCAUAGUAUUAUAAUACUAUUCACAUUAAUUUAUUGCUAACCUAUCUUUGGUAAUUUUAGAAGCCACAUUAUGGUGUAUUGUUAAUUUCUUUUUAAAAAAUUCUCUGAUAUUCAAUUAAAAAAAAUCAGCCACUCAAAAAAAAAAAAAAGUACUUAGCUUUGCGGCUGAAUGGGGCUAAAUUAUGUAUUGUUUGACUAGCGAAACUCUUACCACAUCGGCUGACCACAUCAUAUCGGUAAAAGUGAAAGAUAUUCACUUCAUCUCAUCAAUUUAAAAAUUAAUUAAGAUUACUCCUCCUCAAAAGAUAGUGCUGAUGAAGCUUACAGUUAGAUUACACAUAUUAAUUUGUAGUCAACUGAUGGAAGGUCUAACAACUUAGCUUAACAAACUGUAACAGAGUCAAAACAGGGGAGGCAAAUAUGAUAACGAACAUCUCGCCGAACUGAAGUAAAUAUCUAAAUGGUUAUUAAUUGGAUACAGCUUCAACUUUUGAACUGGUUUGUGGAAAUUGAAAAAAUUUGAAAAGUGUUCCUCUUGAAGAAUCAAAGUCUACUUUAUACGUAAAGAAAGGGGAUGUCGCAAGGAGUUUAAUCGAGUGAUUUUUUAAUUAUUCCACUGACCAACAUGAGAUUCCAAAGCAAGACUUGGUUCCCUAAGUCAAUAAGUAUCGAGGGGUUCACACGCAUUUCCGCGAGGCAUUAAAUAUAGUUUAAUUAUAAUUAUAAUAAAUAAAACACAUAACUAAUAUCAUUCCGCGUCGAUCGUGUCGUCAAGAUCCCCCUCUUGAAAGGAUUCCACUUACCACCUAAAUUCCAAAGCAAGAAGACUUGGUGCUGUAAGUCAAUAAAUAUUAUAUUAUUAAUUAAUUACACACCAUAUUCAACUUCUAUAAAUAAUAGUCAUUAUAUCUCUCUCUCUUCUUGUGAUUUCAUCAUCCAGAAAAGAAAAAAAAAAUGAAAAUGGGUUAUAUCACUCAGCCUUAUCAACUUUUUAUUUGCCUCCAGUUAUUCCUCUUCUAUUCUCAGUGUUCAGCUGCAAUACUUUGCUCUCACCACCAAAGUUCUGCUUUACUCCAAUUUAAGCACCUCUUUUCCUUUGAAAAAGAUUCUUCAUGGUUUUGUGAUGGACGUCAACAAUCUCGUCCAAAGAUGAUGUCUUGGAAAGAGGACGCUGAUUGCUGCUCCUGGGAUGGAGUAACAUGUGAUUCGGCGACGGGUCACGUGAUUGGCCUCGACCUCAGUUGCAGUUGGCUUCACGGCAACAUCCCUUCCAACAGUAGCCUUUCCUUGCUUCCUCGCCUCCGAAAGCUCAACUUAGCCUUCAAUGAUUUCAAUUUCUCUAAGAUUUCUUCUGGUUUUACUGAUCAAUUUCCGAGUUUGACGCUCCUUAACCUCUCUUGCAGCUAUUUCACGGGGUCAAUUCCUGCCUCACUAGGUAACAAUAUUACACAACUUGCUUAUUUGGAUCUCUCAUAUAACAGUUUUACUAGUCAGAUUCCAUCAUCUUUUUCAAAUCUCCACCAGCUUCUUCAUUUAGGUCUUCAGGGCAAUAGCUUUGUUGGUAAAAUUCCUGCAUCACUAGCUAAAAAUAUUUCACAACUUGCUUAUUUGAAUCUCUCCGUUAACAGUUUUAGUGGUCACAUUCCAUCAUCUUUUUCAAAUCUUCAGCAGCUUCGUCAUUUAGAUCUUCGGUACAAUCACUUUGUUGGUAAAAUUCCGGAUAUAUUUACCAAGCUAACCCGACUUUCUUAUUUAGCCCUGGGUGGGAAUCAACUGAUUGGCUCGAUUCCAAGUUCAAUCUUUGAACUUUUGAAUUUGACUGAGAUCUAUCUUUCUUUUAACAAUUUCAGUGGCAGCGUUGAGCUUUACGAUUUUGCAAAGCUCAAAAAUCUUAAAGUUCUUUCUCUUUAUAAUAUUAGUUUAUCAGUGAGCACUAAAUUAACAGUCAACUCGUCUUUCCCUAAUCUUUCGGAGUUGGAUUUAUCGGCUUGCAAUAUAAGUAAGUUUCCAGACGUCUUGAGAACUCAACAUCAGUUAGAGUGGUUGGACCUUUCUAAAAACCAAAUCCGUGGUAGGAUUCCCAGUUGGAUGUGGGAUAUCGGAGUACAUACUUUGUAUUACCUAGAUCUUUCACGAAACUUCCUGACAAGCAUAGACCAUCUUCCGUGGAAAAAUCUCGAAUAUCUUACCCUUGAUUCGAACCUACUUCAAGGAUCACUUCCAGAUCUACCACCUCACAUGGUAGAGCUUUUAAUUUACAACAAUAAUUUGACCGGAGAGAUUCCUUCAUCAUUUUGUAAUUUGAGUUCCAUUCAAUCUUUUGACAUAUCCAACAAUAGCUUGAGUGGACAAAUUCCACAGUGUCUUGGAAACUCUACACUUGAAAGUUUAGAUCUCGGAAUGAACAACUUCCAAGGUACCAUCCCACAGACAUAUGCAAAGGGCUGCAACUUGACUUAUCUUCUGCUGAGUGGCAAUCACUUGGAGGGACCAUUACCACCAUCUUUGAUUAACUGUGUCAAUUUGCUCUUUCUUGACGUUGGGAAUAACAACUUGAGCGGCCCAAUUCCAGAAUGUCUUGGAAACUCAACAAGUUUGUCAUUUCUUGAUGUUGGGAAUAACAACUUGAGCGGCCCAAUUCCAGAAUAUCUUGGAAUCUCAACACGUUUGUCAUUUCUUAAUGUUAGGAAUAACAGCUUGAGCGGCCCAAUUCCAGAAUGUCUUGGAAACUCAACACUUGAAAUCUUAGAUAUGAGAAUGAACAAGUUUAGUGGCAGCCUCCCUCAAACAUUUGCAAAAAGUUGUGUUUUGGUAAGUCUUAACCUUAAUAGCAAUCGGUUGGAAGGACCACUGCCUCCAUCUUUGGUUAAUUGUCGACAUUUGGAAGUUAUAGAUGUUGGGAACAAUCAGAUUAAUGAGACCUUUCCCCACUGGUUAGACGUUCUUCCCGAAUUGCAAGUACUUACAUUGCGUUCUAAUAGAUUUCGUGGUCCCAUUGGUGAUACCAAAACAAGAGUUCCUUUCCCCAAGUUGCGAAUAAUUGAUCUCUCUUACAAUCGAUUCACCGGUGUUUUGCCAAUAUGGUAUCUGAAUGGUUUUAAAGCCAUGAUGCACGGGGAUGACAAUAGUAUUGAAGUCAAUUAUAUGAGGUCGUUGAAUUAUUCUUACUAUGAAUCAAUAUCUCUGACUAUGAAAGGCAAUAACAUACAAAUGGAGAGGAUUUUAACCACUUUUGCAACUAUUGAUUUGUCGAGCAACAGAUUUCAAGGGGAAAUAUCACAAGUGUUGGGAAAGCUUAAUUCUCUCAAAAGUCUCAACAUUUCUCACAACAACUUGACAGGUGGUAUUCCAUCGUCGCUAAGAAAUCUGACAGAGCUUGAAUCUCUAGACCUCUCUUCAAACAAGCUUGCUGGACGUAUCCCAACACAACUAGCGAGUCUCAAUUAUCUUGCGGUGUUGAAUCUUUCGAACAACCAGCUCAAGGGACCCAUACCAGGAGGACCCCAAUUUAAUACAUUUGGAAUUGAUUCCUAUUCUGGUAACUCGGGGCUGUGUGGAUUCCCAUUAUCAAAAAGCUGCAACAUUGAUGAGGCACCAGAACCAACAACACCAACAGGAUUUAUCGAAGGAGACGAUGCUUCAAGCUGGUUUGAUUGGAAGCUCGCUAUGUUGGGUUACGCAUCUGGAGUGGUGAUCGGCUUGUCCAUCGGAUACAUGGCAUUUGUGACUGGAAGGCCACAAUGGUUUGUAAGAAUGAUCGAAAGGAAGCAAUCCAGGAAGCUGAGAAGGGUGAUCAGACGAGGCAGAGCUGGUAGAAGAAGUUUGUUGGUGCAUCUCUAAAGGCCCAGGUGAGUAAUUAUUAGUUUGUCUUUUGGAAUUAUAAGCUGGUUUCUACUGUUCUUUAAGUAGAUAGCAUGCUGAUAUUAUCGUAAUCUAACAGUUGACUUGCAAAAAUCACAAUCCUAAUGAAUUUCAAAUUAUGCUUAUUAUCAACAUCUAUAGUGAGAAACAAAAUGAGGAUAAUGUAUAAGAAAGAAAAUUUUAACUGAAUUAUUGAUGCGAUUGUUUUUACUUUUAUUGCCAUUUGAUUAGAACAUGUAAUCACGGACGUAUGUUUUGAUGGUAAAAUGAUUUGAAGUAAUAUUGUUGCAGGAAAUUGUGCGGGGGUAACUUUGGUUUGUAAUCAUGUACUUCAAAUUUGGGCGUAGAACAUGCUCUAUUAAGUGUGUGCAUUGCUCUUCUUGGAGAAAAUGUAUUAAAUGAAAUCCCACACAUCUGCCAGUGGGCUUGUAUAGCGUUGACAGCACUCAUCCCACACAUCUUCCCAUGCAAGGAUUUCCACUCAUCAAUUAGCAAAAAUUGAAAAACAUUAUAAUUAAAUGUG
RNAcentral lists this long non-coding RNA (80140 nucleotides) under Citrus maxima (pomelo). RNAcentral's name for it is "long non-coding RNA (CMAX_LNC000512)". Lineage: Eukaryota; Viridiplantae; Streptophyta; Magnoliopsida; Sapindales; Rutaceae. The record is from RNAcentral.